UCCUAAUCUAGAUAUUGGGCCCUUGGCCCAUAACCUAUCCUAGUCUAAUUUUUGAACCUUUGGCUUGAGUUUCACUUUACCUGUAUUAAAUACAACUUUGACUUCGAGGUCCAAAUAAAUAAAUAAAUAAAUAAAUAAAUAAAUAAAGACAACAAUAAGUAAAUAAAUAAAAUAACAAAUGAAACUUUUGAGUCUCUGAGCUACUUUGCCAAAGGGUUCCAACCCAUUUUCGUUUUCUUCUAUCUUCUUGUAUCCAUGUGCUACGCAAUUGACUCGAAAUUAAUUUGACAGAAAUGGUGGGCCCCAAUGGCCCAUGAUGAAAUGUGAAGAGAGAUCAAAUCCAUUUUUUUGGACUCGAGGCAAGUGGUACAUGUAAAUAAGGGUAAGGACUAGAACCUGAUAAAAGAGAACCUGAUGCUACUAAUGUUGAAGGAAAUAGAAAAUAAUCUAAAAUGCUCCACAAAACAAGACAUCUCAAAGAAAACACAAGAAAUAAAUUCUUUUAUCUUACCCUUUUGAAAAGUUAAAAUUGAACUUCUUUUAGAGAGAAACUUGACUUCACAUAAAAGUAUAUUUAGGAGUAAACUUAUCACGAUCUUCAAUCACAAAUAAGUUAAUUCUAUGAUAGGAAUAGGCAUGUUUAAAUAAAUCAAACCAACCUAAUCGAAACACAACAAUUCACACAAGAAACAUAGUCUAUUCUGCUAUGCACAAAAUAGAUGAGGCAGUCAAAACUACUCCUUACAAACUGCAACACAUAGGAUCCUACGUGUAGAAUAGGUGCAGCGAGGAAAAGAGAGCAGACCGAAACCCGUAAAUCAUCAUUUAGCAAAGAGUAAAUCAAUCAAAAUUCUACACUAUCCUAAACGAGAUCAUUAAGAGAAUGCAAUGGCAGACUUAAUCCAACACAGCUCAAUCGUUUCCCAUUAUCAGGUCCAUUACUUUGGAACACGGCCACCAAGAACAACUUAAGACAGCCGAAACAUAAACAUAAAUUCACAUAUUUUCAUAUAUAAAAACACUCAUACAGAAAAGGUUUGUGGAUUUAGAGAGAAAAGAAAGCAUUGACAUGUCGAAGGACGAAUAAAGUCGUCUACAAUGAAAACCAUUCCACAAAGCCUCAACCUUUGGAAAAAGGAAAUUGUUGUUUUGCAUCUAUACUCUAAAUAAAAAACAGAAUUAGAAUCGAACAGCUCCUUAAAACAGUCUCAGACAAACAGCGAUUGACGCAUUCAAAUAUGAAUUAUAACUAUCAAGCGACUAACGAAAUAGUCGAAACUAUGGCAAGUUUCGUGACACGCAAGUCCUAUGGCUUAUAAGCCUUCCUACAGUGGACAAACCCAGCACUAACAGUAUUGGAAAAUGUUUCAUGACUACAGCAGUGUGAGAUGAAGCAGAAUACAAUUGAAAUUUAAAUAGAAAUGGAAUGUUGCCUGUUCAAGAGCAGCAAAAUGGGGCAGCGAGUUAAUCAUCGGGAUAUUGAUCACCACCGAAGCUUCGUCGCUACUUCGAUGAUCCCGACAAACUCAACAAUAUCUAAAAUUUCACUAAAAUAGAGAAAUUUGUUCACUGAUUUUUGAUAAAUAAUUUUUUCUCUCCCUUUUCACCCUUUCGGACCUAGCUUUCUUCACUCCUCUUUAUCAGACCCAAAAUUUUUUAACCCAAAUUUUUCUUUUUCUUCCCCCCCUUUUUAACUCAAUCAAGAUCUGCUAAUAUAGAAGCAAGCUCGGGUUUCUCUUUCGUGACUUGAAUGAUGUGGGAAAAUUGAAGUUCGGGCUAAUUUAGGGAUUCCCCAUCGAGAUAUUUUCAAAAUUCAAACUGAAAAAUCCCCCUACAGCUUGGGUUUUCCUCUCCAAAUUGUACCGAUUCUUUUGGAUUUGUUAAGAGAAAUUGAGAAUAGGUGGACCAAGACCAUUUGGGCAAACUGAAUUCUCCUCUAAAUCAAUGAAAACCAUCCAAAUAUAUACAAAAUCUUACAAAUCAAUCCAAAAAUCAAGGCAUUUAAAUGUUGGGGAGACAACUCACCUAUUUCUAGAAGCUUCCUAAGCUUUUCUCGUACAGGUUCACGUGGGAUGCGCGUGAUGCAUGUGAGCAUCGGAUUGAGGUCAGGUUGAAGCUGGUCGGCUUGGAGAUGGUGAUUUUGGGUUACAUCUUUGAUGAUAUCAAUUGAGCGCUAGGUUGAUUUUGGGGAAACUGGGUUCGGUUGUUCGCAAUUUGGAAACCAGAAGCGUGUUUUUUUAUUUUUACCGAUCGAUGUUGUAGGCUGUUAUGUUGUUGUUGGUUAAAGAAGAAAUAGGAAUCUGGGUCGGGUCGGAAGGUUGUUAGGUUUGGGCAUGUUAGAGUGGGUCAUUGGUGAAAGGAAUAGAUUGGUGUGGCUGGUUAUUAUGUGUAAGGGAAAAUGGGCUAGUAAAAUUGUUAUUAUUUUUGGGAUGAUUUGGUUAUUUUAAUAUAUAUGGCUAAUUUAAUUCUAGCCAAAUUGAAUAUCAAUUGAUCAAUUGCAUUAUAAUUGGGGCCAAUUUGAUUUCAAUUAGAGUCAAAUUUAAUAAAUUGACUAAAUCAAAUUGAAAUUCGAUAUGAAUUAACACCUUGUUUAAUCCCAAGCUUCUUGAUUUAAUAAAAUCGACUAAAUAUUUUCUAAAUCAAUUAUUUUCAAUAAUAAAUUAUAUUUAAAUCAAGAUUUUAAUUAUUAUAAUUUAUUUUCAAGAUAAGCCUUGAUUAACAUUCGAUAUUUUGUAAAAUAAAUAUUUAAGUAACAAAAUUAUAAUAUCUCAUAUAAUUUAAUACGAGAAUAUAUAAUCGCUAUUUAAAAAUGACAAAUUCACCCAAAUAAGUACUUUGAAUAUCCUUUAUUCGGAUAAAGUAAAUGUUGUUAUUUUAUCUUAAAAUUGAAGAAACUCAGAAUUAAAUGGGAUUAUGGAGGGUAAUCUUGUGCUGGUGUGGCAAUCCUUUUGGUUACCUAUAUCACUUGUUGUAUGUGGAAUGAUAACCUCUCCGGUUAUAGCCGAUGAUCGAUUUAUAAAUUUUCCUUAAAUUGUCAAUCUUUGGAAAAUCUUGUGCAUUAUUUGAUGUUGGAUACGAGGCGAGUUACAGAUAUCCUUUAAAUUGUUAGCUUUUAGGUAAUCCUUCACAUUUUUCGACCUUGGAUAAGAGAUGGCUUACAGAUAUCUCUCCAAUCGCUAGCUUUUAGGUGUUCCUGCACAUCAUCCAACCUUGGAUACAAUAUGACUUAUAGAUAUCACUCAAAUUGCUAGUCCUUGGGUAAUCCUGUACAUAAUCAAUCUUGGAUAUGAUGCGGCUUAUAGAGAAUCCUUUGACGUAUCAAUUUGAUAAUCUCGCAUAUUCUUCGAUAAAAAUUUAGUUGCGACUUAUGGAUAACCUCCAGACUAUCGAUUUUUGGGCGAUCUUGCACACUAUCCGGUUAGGAUGUUGUUGUGGCUUACGGAUAACCUAUAGUCUAUCAACUCAUAGGUGAUCUUGCAUACUAUCCUAUUUCAAAUAAUAUGACUUAUAGAUGACCCUCAAAUUGUCAAUUUCUAGAAAAUCUCAUAUAUCAUCCGUCUUUAGAUACCGACUUAAAGACGUCCCUUCAAAUCCUGUGCUCUUGAUGCAUUCAGAUGCUAAUUCAUAAAAUGAUGAGAUAUCCUUGACACCAGCAUUUAUGUCUCACGUGUCAACAGAUAUUAAAUACUGAUGAUAUCCUCGAUGCCAGCGUUUAUGUCUUGCAUUUCAAUAGAUAUGAAUUACUGAUGAUAUCCUCGAUGCCAGCAUUUAUGUCUUGCAUGUCAAUAGACAUUAACUAAUGAUGAUAUCCUCGAUGCCAAUGUUUAUGUCUUGUAUGUCAACAGAUAUGAAAUGCUGAUGAUAACCUCGAUGCAGUAUUUAUAUCUUAUGUGUCAACAGAUAUGAAAUGUUGAUGACAUCCUCGAUGAUAGCAUUUAUGUCUUGCGUGUCAACAGAUAUGAAAUGCUGAUGACUUCCUCGAUGCCAGCGUUUAUAUCUUGCGUGUCAAUAGAUAUGAAUUGCUGAUGAUAUCCUUGACGCCAGCGUUUAUGUCUCCCAUGUCAACAGAUAUUAAAGGUUGAUAAUAUCCUCGAUGCCAGCAUUUAUGUCUUACGUGUCAAUAGAUAUGAAAUGAUGAUGAUAUGAAAUGGCCCUCUCGGCGAUGAUAUGAAUGGCCCUCUUGGCAAUGAUAUGAAAUGGCCUUCUUGGCGAUGCUAUGAAGUGGCCCUCUCGGCAAUGCUAUGAAAUGGCCCUCUUGGCAAUGAUAUGAAUGACCCUCUUGUGAAUGAUACGAAUGGACCUCUCGGCAAUGAUAUAAAAUGUCCCUCUCGGCAAUGCUAUGAAAGGGACCUCUUGGCAAUGAUAUGAAUGGCCUUCUUGACAGUGAUAUGAAAUAACAUAAAAUGGCUUUCUUGGCGAUGAUAUGAAUGACCCUCUUGGCAAUUUGAAAAUAGUUUCACCUGAGUUUGUUUUUCUGUGUCUUACUUUCUACAUGUACCUGUACUUGAAGUAGACAAUUAGUAGACACAAAGUUGUUCUCACCCUGUUUGUCUUAAGGUGAAUUUUAAGGGCAGCUUUUUGCUCUUCCUCCUAUUGAGAGAUCUUUUGAUUAUUGUAUUUAUUAUGCUAACUCCCUUGAAUAUACCUGCACCAAAAAUAUUUAGUAGGCACAAAGUCUCUUUUGCUAGCGACUAUGUUUUAGAAAAAUCCUAAAUACAAUAUUAUAAAGAAAAUAAGACGCCUUUGUUUGUCCUUUAUGAUCUCAAGAAAUGAGAUGGACAAUUCAAAAGGUAGUUGAUAAAUAGGUAUUAAACCUAUUUUUGAGGCUACCCUAAAAUACCGUUCUUAACCAUUGUAUGCUCAGGCAUGGCUCGCAACUUGCUUGGGGAUUUUAAAAGAAACACUCAUUUUGUAUAUCGAUCCCUGCAUCCACAGAAAAAUGAUUAGUUUGAAUAAAACUACUCCGUGUUGACUUUCUUGUCUGCUCAGUUUGCUCCUCUCCAUCUUUCAGGUGCCCCGUCAUAUUGGUAUCUCCACCCUAGGUCCCUGCUUCCAUAGACGCCCAGGCAAUCACUAAGUAAAAGAUUUGUAAAGAUUUUUUCAAAAGUAGUCUUAUUUUUAGCAAAUGGUUUCGAAAGUAUCUGUAAAAGCUUUAGAAAAUUUCUGCCAGUCAUGUCAUUUACUAGCUCAACGAGCGUCUUCUUCGUGGUUUUAACUAUAUCUGACGGAUGAUUUUCAAAACUCAUGAUCAUUUUUUGAGGGUUCUUCAAAUAGUUCUGUCAUAGCCAGAAAUUAAGUCUACCUAGACUUUGUCGCAGUUGGUGGCUUCAAAAACUUGUCUUUAACCUCUGGAGUCGAGGACUUUGAAAUAUAUUCCAAUAGUUGGUAGAAAUUUUGAGGCCUCUCUCAAAAUUUCUGCCACAGUUUAAAGUAGUCUGAGAUGAUAUCAUCUAGAGUGGAUCUGAAGUCUUUGCUGAUCUUCAUUCUCUUUGUUGGAUAUUGAUCUUCUCUUGUGAAUUUUUGAGAUUUCUUCUUGAAAAUUCUGCCCUAGUUUCCAUUUCCUGGGGUUAUAUGACCGAACCAUUGGGGCGCCUACGUAUCCCGUUGAAGCAGGAAUCAGGUCAAACGUAGUUCAAGACUACGCUAAAGAUAUAUAGAAAAUCUAAUGGAUUGACCGAAGCCGACAUAGGCCACCUAUGUAUCUCUUUUGUUGGGAAUUUAGGUCAUUACGUAGUUCAUACAUAAAAGGAAAGGAUAAAUUUUCUUAAGGGGUUGAUCGAAGCCGACAUAGGCCGCCAACGUAUCCCUCUUUGGAAAUUCAGGUCAAAAGUAGUUCGUACAUAAAAGGAAAGGAUAAAUUUUCCUAAGGGGUUGACCGAAGCCAACAUAGGCCGCCUACGUAUCUCUUUUUGGGAAUUCAGGUCAAAUGUAGUUCGUACAUAAACUCAUCUUUAGGGUUAAAUAGCCCUAGAUACUCUUAUCCAUCCUACUAGAAAUAAACAUUCUACAAAUGACAUGACAUUUUCAUUACGUUUGUCUUGAUAGAAUAAAGGAUCAAAUAUCCAAUUCCCUUAGUCAUCGCUCAGUUUUCUCUAGAUCAGGCUUCUUUAAUUCUCGAACUCUUUGACUCUUCUAUUAACUGUUCCAGGGCUAUCAUUAUUUUUUUUUUGACAUGACAUGAUAAUGGCAGGUUUUGAGCUAUUAUUAUACGACGGGCGAUGAGUCAUGAGUGAAGUGGUGGUCCAAUUCAACAAUGUUUCCUCCAAUUUAUCUUCUAUGAUCCCGAUUGUCUUGGAAAAUUCCUCCCUUACAUUUUCUCCUAUUCCAUCCUCAAGACCAUCGCUUACAGGUUUGGAAAAAUGAUUGGUAGAGUCUAGUUUUACAACUAGUCAUUUUUCUUUUCUUGUAACAAAGUUAUAGUUAAGAAGGGGAUUUCUUAUUCAUUUGAUCUAGUGAAGUAUGGUCAUUUUAUGCCAACACAGUGUAAUUUCUAUUACCUGCAAAGUAAAAACAACUCAAAGGCUGAUGUGUUAAAUUCUGUUAGUAAUAAGCAAAGCAAGAUGAUAAGGUAAGAAGUAAACACAUAGAGUUGUUUCUCCUCUCAUGCGAAUUGAUCCAUGAAGUAAUGAUGACUCAAGAAUUUCAAUGAACAGGAUUUUUCUCAAUGAUAUGGAUGGGUAGAAUUUAUUCGGAAGGCUCAACUUUUAUUCUUUCCGACCUUAUUACUUCUUUCAAGAAAAUGGAGGUCAACAGAGCUUUUGGAGAAAUAGGCAGAGCCGAAAGGCUGUCUACGUAUCUUACGGAGGAGAAAUCAGGCCCUACGUAAUUCAAAACUAUAAUGGAUUUUUCUGAUUCUAAAAUCAACUUUUCGAAAACGGUAGCGAUCAUUUUGGAAGUUUUAAGAACGACUGCGGACUUUUCUGAGAAACUUGGGAGACUUGGAGUACGUUUGGUCGGACUUUUGUAUAUUGGGGUAUAUUUAUGCCUAGAGAUGUUCUAUGGAAAAUAAGGUUGGAUCAAUUCGCCUUUGAUUCGAAUCAACAUAACACGUAUAACCACAUAAACAGUUAUAUUACAUAAGUAUAUUGUAAUAAACAUGCAUCCUAAUUGAGUGAGCCUAACGAAUUUUGAAGAAAAUAUACGCCUUUUAAAAGCCAAUCCAUUAUCCCCUAAAAUCUUCAUAGAUAUACAUAAAUGGCAUAAAUGCCUACAAACGUUGCACAAAGGGGAUAUAAUCUUUAGGGAAAGGGAAAAUAACAUGAGAAGAAAAGUAAUGUCCCGCGCAAGGGAUAAUAAGUACUAAUUCCUGAAUGCUUCUUCUAUCGGCCUUCGCUUUCUUAGCUUUGUCCACUUCUCAAUAUUGGCGACAUCCGUUAAUGAUCAAGUGAUUGCCGUAUAACUGUACCAUUGAUGCCAUGCAACUGUCCAAAUCAAUCAAUUUCUUUCUUGACUUGUUUCAAUUCUUUUAUCAAUCGGUGUACGAUUGAGGCAUCCUUAUACAAAAGUAAGUAAAACAAGUCUUCUCCCGAACCCCCAAAGGAUAAUGAAUUGGAUUAAACAAACAUAUAUUUCUUCAACACAUAAAUAUGAUUCGUCUGUAAUUGACUUGGGGUCAAUAGACGCAGGGCAAGUUUUCUAAUGGACCCAAUACCCCCCUCGGGUAUUAGAUCAUCCUAGGCUUAUACCUAAAAUAGGAUUUUGGUUUUGCUCUAUCUUAAAUGUCUAGAGUGGGUUUGAACCGGGUUCCCAAGCGGAUGUCUUAGGUUUGGAAAUACAAACAGCCAUCAAAUGACUCACGUGCUAAUAAACCGCUGUAUUUCCAACACAUUAUUUGGAAUUGAACAAUAGGGGUCGGGACAUGCACGAAACCCAAAAAUAGUUUAAAUAAAUACAGGAAUAUGCUAUGAGAUGCACUAAUUAAAUACCAUGAAAUCAAACAUAUAAACACGUAAAUAGUUAAUCAAAAGAUGAAAUCAAACAUUUGAUUAGAACCUAGUUUAAAAUCCCCAUGAGUCGCCAUUUCAGUUUUUCAGAAAUUUUGACUUUUAAAGAGUCACCACUUAAUUUUGAAAAUGAAUUAAGAAACCUUUAUAAGAUACUUUAAACAAUCAAAAAACAAUCAAAAACAGAAAAAUCGCUUGAGUUUAAAGAUUCUAAGUAAGCGGUUCUUAUUAAUGUUUUAGGAAGGUGUUAAGACACCUAAAAUGUCCGCUAACUUGCGAUUAUCUGGACUGUUUGAAAACGUCAUUUGAUUAACUUCAAAAAAAAAAGAUUGAUUUGUUAAAAAGUGAUCGAUUUUUAGCAAAUACUUAUGUAAAAUGAAUUUAGACGACUUAGUAGGGAUUUUAACUAAGUAUAAACAAAACUAAUAAACAAAUAAACACAUAAAGGAAAAAGGGAGGAGAAUGUAAAAGAUUUAGGCCAUUGGGCCCAAAUCAACGAAACCUGUCCUAAUCUAGAUAUUGGGCCCUUGGCCCAUAAUCUGUCCUAGUCUAAUUUUCGAACCUUUGGCUUGAGUUUCACUUUACCUGUAUUAAAUACAACUUUGGCUUCGAGGCCCAAAUGAAUGAAUAAAUAAAUAAAUAAAUAAAGACAACAAUAAGUAAAUAAAUAAAAUAAUAAAUGAAACUUUUGAGUCUCUGAGCUAUUUUGCCAAUGCGUUCCAACCCAUUUUCUUUUUCUUCUAUCUUCUUGUAUCCAUGUGCUACAUAAUUGACUCCCGGAAUUAAUUUGAUAGAAAUGGUGGGCCCUAAUGGCCCAUGAAGAAUUGUGAAGAGAGAUUAAAUCCAUUUUUUGGACUCGAGGCAAGUGGUACAUGUAAAGAAAAGGGUAAGGAUUAGAACCUCAUAAAAGAGAAACUGAUGCUACUGAUGCUGAAAGAAAUAGAAAAUAAUCUAAAAUGCUCCAAGAAACAAGACAUCUCAAAGAAAAUAAAGCCUUUUAUCUUACCCUUUUGACAAAUUAAAAUCGAACUUUUUUAAAGAGAAACUUGACUUCACAUAAAAGUAUAUUUAGGAGUUAGCUUAUCACGAUCUUCAAUCACAAAUAAGUUAAUUCUAUGAUAGGAAUAGGCAUGUUUAAAUAACUCAAACUAACCGAAUAAAAACACAACAAUUCACACAAGAAACAUAGUCUAUUCUGCUAUGCACAAAAUAGAUGAGGCAGUCGAAACAACUCCUUACAAACUGCAACAACACACAGGAUCCUGCGUGUAGAAUAGGUGCAGCAAGGAAAAGAGAGCAGACCGAAACCCAUAAUUCAUCAUUUAGCAAAGAGUAAAUCAAGAAAAAUUCUAUACUAUCCUAAACGAGAUCAUCAAGAGAAUGCAAUGGCAGACUUAAUCCAAUACAGCUCAAUCGUUUCCCAUUAACAGGUCCAUUACUUUGGAACACAGCCACCAAGAACAACUUAAGACAACCGAAACAUAAACAUAAAUUCACAUAUUUUCAUUUAUAGAAAUACUCAUAUAGAAAAGGUUUGUGGAUUUAGAGAGGAAAAAAAAGCAUCCAUGUCGAAGGACGAAUAGGGUCGUCUACAAUGAAAACCAUUCCACAAAGCCUCAAUCUUUGACAAAAGAAAAUUGUUGUUUUACGUCUAUAUUCUAAUUAAAAAACAUAAUUAGAAUCGAACAGCUCCUCAAAAUAGUCUCAGACAAACAGCGAUUGAUGCAUUCAAAUAUGAAUUAUAACCAUCAAACGACCAACGAAAUAGUCGAAACUAUGGCAAGUUUCAUUAAACGUAAAUCCUAUGGCUUAUAAGCCUUCCUACAACGGACAAACCCAGCACUAAUAGUAUUGGGAAAUGUUCAUGAUUGCAGCAAUGUGAAAUGAAGCAGAAUACGAUUGAAAUUGAAAUAGAAAUGGAAUAUUACCUGUUUGAGAGCAGCAAAAUAGGGCAACGAGUUAAUCAUCGGGAUAUUGAUCACCACCGAAGCUUCGCCGCUACUUCGACGAUCCCGACAAACUCAACAGCUUCUAAACUUUCACUAAAAUAGAGGAAUUUGUUCACUAAUUUUCGCUAAAUGAUUUUUUCUCUCCCUUUUCACCCUUUCGGACCUAGCUUUCUUCACUCCUCCACUUUAUCGGACCCAAAUUUUCGAACCCUAAUUUUUCUUUUUCUUCCUCCCUUUUUCAACUCAAUCAAGAGCAGCUUAUAUAAAAGCAAGCUCAGGUUUCUCUUUCGUGACUUGAACGAUGUGGGAAAAUUGAAGUUCGGGGUUAAUUUAGGGAUUGCCCAUCGAGAUAUAUUCAAAAUUCAAACUAAAAAAUCCUCCCACAGCUUGGGUUUUCCUCUCCAAAUUGUACCGAUUCUUUUGGUUUUGUUGAGAGAAAUUGAGAAUAGGUGGACCAAUACCAUUUGGGCAAACCAAAUUCUCCCCUAAACCAAUGAAAAUCAUCCAGAUAUGUACGAAAUAAUACAAAUCAAUACGAAAAUCUAGGGAUUUAAAUGUUGGGGAGACAACUCACCUAUUUCUAGAAGCUUCCUAAGCUUUUCUCGUACAGGUUCGCGUUGAAGCUGGUCAGGUCAGAGAUGGUGAUUUUGGGUUACAUCUUUACUGAUAUCGAUUGAGCACUGGGUCAAUUUUGGGGAAGCUGGGUUCGAUUGUUCGCGAUUUGGAAACCAGAAGCGUGUUUUUUUGUUUUUGCCGAUCGAUGUUGUAGGCUGUUCUGUUGUUGUUGAUUAAAGGAGAAAUAGGAAGCUGGGUCGGGUUGGAAGUUUGUUGGGUUUGGGCCUGUUGGAGUGGGUAAUUGGUGAAAGGAAUGGGCUGGUGUGGCUAGUUGUUAUGUGUAAGGGAAAAUGGGCUGCUAAAAUUGUUAUUAUCUUUGGGUUGAUUCGGUUAUUUUAAUGGAUUUGGCCAAUUUAAAUUCUAGCCUAUUUGAAUACCAAUUGGACAAUUGCAUUACAAUUGGGGCCAAUUUGAUUUCAAUUAGUCAAAUUUAAUAAAUUGACUAAAUCAAAUCGAAAUUCGAUACAAAUUAACACCUUGUUUAAUCCCGAGCUUCUUGAUUUAAUAAAAUCGACUAAAUAUUUUCUAAAUCAAUUGUUUUCAAUAGUAGAUUAUAUUUAAAUCAAGAUUUUAAUUAUUAUAAUUUAUUUUCAAGAUAAUCCUUGAUUAACAUUUGAUACUUUGUAAAAUAAAUAUUUAAGUAACAAAAUUAUAAUAUAUCGUAUAAUUAAAUACGACAAUAUAUAAUCACUAUUUAAAAAUGACAAAUUCACCAAAAUAAGUACUUUGAAAAUUUUUUAUUCGGAUAAAGUAAAUGUUGUUGUUUUAUCUUAAAAUUGAAGAAACUUAGAAUUAAACUGGGUUGUGAAGGGUAAAAAAUAGGUGUCAACAGGGUUACUUAUUGGUCAUCUCGGGUGAGUUUUGGAUUUUUCAGACCAACGUAAGGGCGACCCCCUACUGUUUUGGACAUCCAAACUUUGAUGAAUUUUAAUUCAACCUUCUCGGCCUUAAAAUGCCGAUCUUUAAGUUGAUUCAUGAUCGGGGUUACUUAUAGGUCAUCUCGGGUGAGCUUUGGAUUUUUCAGACCAACGUACGAGUGAGUUUGGAUGUCCAAAAUAGUAGGGGGUCGCGAUAGGGCCACGCCGCGAGGGUCAGUUGACCCUGGCUUAGGGUCGCACCGGUACAGCUGCUUGACCCAAGCAAGGGUCGCGCCGCGACAGCCGCUUGACCCAACUAGGGGUCGCGACACGAAGAGAGUCCCCGUUCAGCAUUUUAAAUCCAUAUCAAUUAAGGGCAUUUGGGUAUUUUUCCCUCACCCAAGUGACCCAUAACAUGAAAUUAAGGAUUAAAAGAGGGCAAAUCACUCUUCUUUUCAUAUAUUCUCUCAAGAACAAAGCCCUAGUUUCUUCAAGUCCAAGUUUAAGCUUCAAGAAAUCGCCAAUAACCCACACGAAUACAUGUACUAAGGUAUAUUAAGUGUUCAUCCUUAGGUCCCUUCCAACCCUUGGAGUCCAAGAACCUUUUUAAAAGCUUAAGUGAUAAGUUUGCUUGAUUUAAAUCACAUUAUGUCCAUAUAUGUGUUGUCAUUUGAGUGUCAAUUUAUAAAUAUAUAAAUUCCAUGUGAAAUAAAAUAAUGCGUACAUUGGUUAAUGUAAGUAUCAUGUUGAAUACCUUAAAUUGUGAAUUAAAUAAUAAAGUCAUGAUAUAUUAGCAUGUUGAGCAUUCCCAUGUACGAAAAUAUGCCUUCAAAGUGUUUAAUAAAGUGAUUAUAGGAGUGAAGGUUAAAUUGUGAUUGUUUGUUAUGCUUUAUAAUUUAUGGUAGGGUCCUAUUGUCAAUGAUAUUGAGUCCUGAGGGUUAUGAUACCCAAAAUUUAGUUGCUUACCCAUAUUACAGUAGUCAUAGAAAGAUCCUAAUCAUAUCAUGAAUAGUAGUACUCAGUCAGUUAACAUGGUCAGUGUGAAUUCAGUUAAGCCUAGCCCACUAAUCAGUUCAGUUGGGAGUAGGAUUUAGCACCGAGCGAAUCCAGGGAUGGGAGCAUUCCUGCCAACUUAGGGUGUAACACUUAGUAGCAAUCCCUAAGAUACAGAACUAUGUAGCCUGGGUAGGUUAAUAUGUCUUCUUGCUAGUAUAAGGUUUACAUACCUAUUUAUAUCUCAUGAGUCUUCCUACCAUAUUAGGGUUGACUGAGCCAUUGUUAGUAACCCAUGGCACGAUACUAACACCCUUCCAAUUGGGGUUACAGGUUGGACACCAAUCAGUUUAUAUUGGGGUAUGUAGGUUAGAUGAAAGCUCCCACAGUUUUAAUUUCAAUACUCAGUUUAGAAUUCAGUUUAGUCUUUCGUGACCAUAGCAUAUAGAUUACCAGUUAUAUAGCUAUCAAAUUUUAGUAUCUCAGUUUACAUGCUACUUCAGUACUUGAUUUAUGCGUGGUCAUACAUUCCCAGUCAUUACAGUCUUCAUGCAUUAUUACUCAGUACCUCAUUCUGUACAUUCGGUCAGUUAUUGCUACUGAAUAUGAACCCAUGCAUAUCAGCCUAACCUCAUUUAGCAUACCAGUAUAUUCAAAAGUACUGAACGCAUACUUUUUUCUUACGUGAUGAUGUCUUAUAUCAUAAGUUCAGACGCUCAAAUUCCCUAUCGAACUUAGACUUUCCAGUGCAUCAGCAGCAGCAGCCGUGUUGAGUCCUUUUCGUUCGAUGAAGAUUUAUCAUAUAUUCAGUUAUGUUAGUAGUUCAGUUAUUUAGUUAGUCGAAGUUAGUUGGGGGCUUGUCCCAUCAACUCCAUCGUCAGAUAGUUUAGAGGCUUUCAGACUAGUACAGAUAGAUGUUUAGAUUUUAAUUAUGAUAAUUAGUUGUCUUAUCAGUAUGUUCCCAAAUGUUUUAAACCAUGAUUUAGUAUUAAUUUUAGUUAUUAAAACCUUAUGUCAUUUUAUUUGAAAUUCUAGGUACGUUGUUCAUCAGUUUUAUUUAGUGCUCAUAGCAGGUACCACCUCAUGGGUUAGCUUGUGGUCUUAUGGGACCGUAAGCACCGUGUGGUGUCCAGGGUGUAUAUAUUCUUGGGUCAUUACAAAUAUUGUAUCAGAGCCUAAGGUUUUAAAACAUCCUAGGAAGUCUAAAAGUCGCGUCGAGUAGAGUCUUGUGCAUGGGUGUGUAGCGCACCACACUUAUGGGCAAGAGGCUACAAGAUGUUUUAGGAAAUAUUUCCUUUCUUUCAGUAUCUUUCCAUGGCCAUAUUGUCUCAGAUGAUGGCAUUAGAUUUGACCCUCAAAAGACCAAAGCAGUGAGGAGCUGGCCUAGACCUAAUUUUCCAUCAGAUAUCAGGAGUUUUUUAAGCUUGGCCAGCUAUUACCAAUGGUUUAUUAAGGGGUUUUCGUCUAUUGAAUCACCCCUGUACAUAUUAACUCAGGAGAAAGUCAAGUUCUAGUGGUCAGAUUCUUGUGAGAAGAGUUUUUAGGAGUUGAAGACUCGACUCACCUCAGCUUCAGUUUUGACCUUGCUAGAUGGUUCAUAUGGGUUCGUUGUUUAUUAUGAUGUUUCUAGAGUUGGUUUGGGGUGUGUUUUGAUGCAGAAGGGUAAGGUCAUAGUCUAUGCCUCCAGACAACUUAAUCCUCAUGGAAAGGAUUACCCUACUCAUGAUCUCAAACUAGAAGCUGUUGUGUUUCCCUUAAGAAUUUGGAGGCAUUAUUUAUAUGGGGUGCAUGUUGAUGUGUUCACAGACCACAAGAGCUUACAGUAUGUAUUCUCAUAAAAUGAUUUGAUCUUGUAUCAGAGGAGGUGGUUAGAGCUAUUAAAAUACUAUGACAUAAGUCUUCUGUAUUAUCCGGGAAAGGCCAAUAUAGUGGCAGUGACCCUCAGUAGGUUGUCCAUGGGUAGAGUUGCUCACAUUGAAAAUGAUAAGAAGAAGCUAGUUUAGGAAGUUCAUUAGCUUGCCAGACUAGGUUUCCGUUUGGUUGAUUCAGCCGAGGGUAGUGUGUGGGCACAAAAUAGUUCAGAAUCCUCUUUGGUUGUCGAAGUAAAAGAAAAGCAGGAUAUAGAUUCUAGUUUGGUUAGGUUGACGAAGUCUGUUAGAGAUCAGAAAGUAGAGGUUUUCUCCCAAGGGGAGAUGGUGUAUUACAUUGCCAGGGUAGACUAUGUGUGCUAUGUGUAGAUAACCUGAGGUAGUAGAUUCUUGCAGAAGAGCAUGGUGCGCGUUACUCUAUUCAUCCAGGGUCCACUAAGAUGUACCGUGAUUUGCAAGAGAUCUAUUAAUGGAGUGGGAUGAAGAGAGACAUUACAGAGUUUGUAGCUAAGUAUUCUACCUGCCAAUACGUUAAUAUUGAGCACCAAAAGCCUAGUGGUUCUAUAUAGGAGUUUAGUAUCCCCACUUGGAAGUGGGAGAAAGUGAACAUGGACUUUGUGAUGGGUUUGCCUCGUACUCGUCAUCUGCAUAAUUCAAUUUGGGUCAUUGUGGAUAGGAUGACCAAGUCAGCCCAUUUCCUACCAAUCUAUAUUUCCUAUUUAGUUGAGGAUUAUGCCAAGCUCUACCUUAGAAUGUUGGUUAGGUUACAUGGUAUUCCGUUGUCUAUCAUUUCUGAUAGAGGUACUCAGUUUACCUCCCACUUUUGGAAAGCCUUCCAGAAGGGUCUUGGUACCCAGUUUACCUCAGUGCAGCCUUUUACCCUCAGAUGGAUGGUCAAGGAGAGAGGACCAUUAAAACCUUAGAAGAUAUGUUGAGAGUGUGUGUCCUUGAUUUUAAAGGUAACUGGGAUGAUCACUUAUUUUUAAUAGAGUUCGCAUAUAAUAACAGCUAUCAUUCCAGUAUUCAAAUGCUCCAUUUGAGGCUCUUUAUAGAAAGAGGUGUAGAUCUCCUAUUGGUUGGUUCGAGGUAGUGGAGACCGCAUUGAUAGGGCCUGAUUUAGUAUUCGAUACCUUAGAGAAGGUUUAGUUGAUCAGUGAAAGGCUUAAGACAACCUAAAGCCAAUAGAAAUUCUUUGUUGAUGUGAGGAAAAGAGACCUUGAGUUUGAGAUUGGUGACCUAGUUUACUUGAAAAUCUCUCCCAUGAAGGGGGUGAAGAGUUUUGGUAAUAAGGGGAAGUUUAGCCCCUGAUAUGUUGGCCCUUAUAGAAUUCUGAGUGUUUCGGAAAGGUAGCCUAUGAACUAUAGUUGCCUGCAGACUUAGCAUCAGUGCACCUAGUAUUUCACGUCUUUCUGCUAAAGAAGUAUAUUGGUGACCCAAUGGUUGUAGUCCCCUUAGAAAGUGUAGAUGUUCAGAACAGUCUCUCUUAUAAAGAAGUUCUAGUCAAAAUCCUCGAUCAACAGAUUCGCCGACUAAGGAACAAAGAAGUUCCCUUGGUCAAACUUCUUUGGCACUAGUCUGUUGAGGGAGCCACUUGGGAAGAAGAAGUAGACAUGCAAACCAAGUACCCUUAUCUCUUCUCCACAAACUAAGUCUCAGCCUAAGGUAAUAGUCUUCCUUAGAUAUUCUCUACUUCAUACUCAGUUCCAGCUGCAUAUCAUUCUCAUGUUAUUCAUGCAUUCACAAAAUCAAUUGGGCCAUAUGUUAUUUUUUAAGAUUCAGUCAUGUUUCAGUUGUGCAUAUUAGUAUAUAAUCUCAGUUUCUAAUUAUUCUCAGCUUAACUAGUCUCAUUCGUGGAUGAAUGUUCCCAAGGGGGAGAUAUUGUAAUACCCCAUAUGUUUCUUAGUCCAAUUCAGCUCAUAAAGUGCAUAUGAGAGGCCUAAGACUAAAAAAUUUAGCUAAGUGUUAAAGACUUAGUCUCAUUUUUGUCCUCUAAACUUUGAUGAAUUUUAAUUCGACCUUUCCGUCCUUAAAAUGUCGAUCUACAAGUAUAUUCAUGAUGGGGGUUACUUAUAGGUCAUCUCGGGUGAGUUUUAGAUUUUUUCAGACCAGCGUAAGGGUGAGUUUGGAUGUCUAAGAUAAUAGGGUCGAGAUAGGGCCGCACCGCAAGGGUCAAUUGAACUAGGAUCAGGGUCACGCCGCGAUGGCUGCUUGACCUAAGCAAGGGUUGCACCGCGACGACUGCUUGACCCAACCAGGGGUGCAACGCAAGGGGAGGCCCCAUUCAGCAUUUUAAAUCCAUGACAAUUAAGGGCAUUUAGGUCUUUUUCCCCCACCCAAGUGGCCCAUAACACAAAAUUAAGGAUAAAAAAAGCACAAAUCACUCUUUUUUUCACAUAUUCUCUUAAGAAGAAAGCCCUAGUUUCUUCAAGUCCAAGUUCUUCAAGAAAUCGCCAACAACCCAUAUGAAUUCAUUUACUAAGGUAUGUUAAGUGUUCAUCUUUGGGUCCCUUCCAACCCUUGGAGUCCAGGAACCUUUUCCAAAGCUUGAGUAAAAAGUUUUCUUGAUUUAAAUCAUAUUAUGUCCAUGUAUACAUUGUAAUUUGAGUGUCAAGUUAUGAUUAUAUAAAUUCCAUGUGAAAUAAACUAAUGCAUACAUUGGUUAAUGUAAGUAUCAUGUUGAAUCCCCUAAAUUAUGAAUUAAAUGAUUAAUUUGUGAUAUGUUAGCAUGUUGAGCAUUCCUAUGUAUGAAAAUAUGCCUUCCAAGUGUUUGAUAAAGUGACUACAGGAGUGAAAGUUGAAUUGUAACUAUUUGUUAUGCUUUAUUAUUUAUGGUAGGGUCCUAUUGUCAAUAAUAUCAAGUCUUGGGGGUUAUGAUACCCAAAAUUUAGUUGCUUACCUAGUUUACAGUAGUCAUAGAAAGAUCUUAGUCGUAUCAUGAACAGUAGUACUAAGUCAGUUAAAAUGGUCAGUGUGAAUUCAGUCAAGCCCAGCCCAGUUUAGUGAUCAGUAUAGGUUCAGAUGGGAGUAGGAUUCAACACCGAAAGAACCCAGGGAUAAGGGCAUUCCUGCCAGCUUAGGGUGUGACCCUUAGUAGCAAUCCCUGAGUUACAAAACUACGUAGCCAGCAUAGGUUAAUAUGUCUUCCUACCAGUCUAGGGUUGACAUGCAUAUUUAUAUCUCAUGAGUUUUCCAGCUAGAUUAGCGUUGACCCUACCAUUGUUAGUAACUUGUAGGAUGGUACUAACACCCUUCUAACUGGGGUUACAGGUUGGACCCCAAUUAGUUUAUAUUAGGGCAUACCGGUUAGAUAAAAGCUCCCACAGUUUCAGUUUCAGUACUCAAUUAUUAAUUUAGUUUAGUCUUGAAUGACCAUAACAUAUAGUUUACCAGUUAUAUAGCCAUCAGAUUUCAGUAUCUCAGUUUACAUGCUACUUCAGUACUGGAUUUAUGCAUGGUCAUACAUUCCAAGUCAUUACAAUUUUCAUGCAUUAUUACUCAGUACCUCAUGCUGUACAUUUAGUCAGUUAUUACUCCAGAACAUGAACCGGUGCAUAUCAGAAUAACCUAAUUUAGCAUACCGGCACAUUCAAAAGUACUAACUACAUACUAUUUUUUUAUGUUAUGUUGUCUUAUAUCAUAGGUUCAGACACUCAGAUUCUAGAUCAUACUUAGAAUUUCUAGUGCAUCAGCAACAACAGCCGUGGUGAGUCCUCUUCCUUCGAGGAUGAGUUAUAUUAUGUUCAGUUAUGUUAGUAGUUCAAUUAUUUAGUCAGUCAGAGUUAGUUGGGGGCUUGUCCCAUCAACUCCACCGUCAGAUAGUUUACAGGUUUUCAGACUAGUAUAGAUAGUUGUUUAAUUUUCAAUUAUGAUUAUUAAUUGUCUUAUCAGUAUGUUUCCAAAUAUUUUAAACUAUGAUUUAGUAUUAAUUUUAGUUAUUAAAACCUUAUGUCAUUUUAGUUAAAAUUCUGCGUAUGUUGUUUAUCAGUUUUAUUCAGUACUCACAGCAGGUACUAGCUCAUGGGUUAGCUUGUGGUCUCAUGGGACCGCAAUCACCAUGUGGCAUCCAGGGUGUACUCCCAAGUCGUUACAUAAACUUAGGAUAAUAACAAUUUCUCAUCAAAAUAGUGAAAUUCAAGACAAAAUAUCAAACUUGUAGUUUAAAACAUGAAUAAGUACAACUGUUAUGCUCUUUAGUCCUUUAAAUCACAGGGUAAUGCUAUGCUUCAAUACAUGAGAAUUUAGAAAUGAACCCUAAUUUAAAAUAUAUAAAUUCAACUUGAAAAUAAUACUCUCAGGCACAAGGAUAAAAUAUUAAACUUGUUCAAAACUCCACAUACCUGAAUUUCUUGAUUUCUUAAUGAAAGCUUGAAAUUAGAACUUGAAUUCUUGAGUUCUUGGGGAAGAAAGCUUGAAUUUCUUAUUCUUGGGAAGAAACCCUAAUUUCUUUUCUCUUGAGAGUGAAGAGGAUAGUAAAUAUUGAAAACUAACUAAUGAUGUGAAACUAUUGUGUAUAGUAUGAUUUAAGUCAUGGGGUAGGAUUUGAGGUGAGGAAAAGACCAAAAUACCCAUAGGGAAACUGAAUAAAAAUUAUUGGAAUUUCUGUAGUUGAUGACUUAGUUGACAACCUGUCAACUAGUUGAUGAUCUGUCAACCUAGUCGUCACCUUCUCUUCAUGAUCUAGUUAAGGUUGAUGACUUAGUUGAUAGCCUGUCAACUAGUUGACGGCUUGUCAACCUAGUUGUCACCUUCUCUUCAUGAUCUGGUUAAGGUUGACAACUUAGUUGACAGCCUGCCAACUAGUUAAUGACUUGUCAACCUAGUCAUCAUCUUUCCUUUAGAGAUACAGGGUGUUUUUGGUUAAGGGUGACGACGAGGUUGAUAGCUAGUCACUUAGUUGAUGUCUUAUCACCCCAAGUUGUCACCUUGUUGACAUACGAACAAACUGAGGUAAAAUGAGCAUAACUUUCCACGCAACUAUCAGAUUAAGGUGAAAUCAAAUGCUUUGUAAAGAAGAUUUAAAGAACUUUCAUUGGAUAUAUAGUAGGAAACCUGAAUCUAUAUAUUCUAUAAGAUAAAAUCAUUUAAAUUUGACCCUUUUAGGAUCAAAUACAAAAACUCAAUCGAUGAAAGUGUUCUCAACUAUUCUUUGCUCUAAGUGCUUCCUAUGACCAUGAUUCAUAUCGAAACCACUUUAUAUACAAGGUGAAUGGUCAUGACAUAUAUUUUCAUAUACAAAUCAUAGGAUUGGAGUUAUACAUUUAGGAUUAACAAUUCAAAUUCUAGCCUGAAAGUAUGGGGUGUUACAGACUAGUUGGGCAAAAUAAGUCCCUUAGCAUGUGCGUACCUAUUACUAUUAAUUUUGAAAGGUCGUGUGGUUUAACAAGCUGAUAAAAAUAUAAUGGUUUUCUAAUUGUGAGGUUUAGAAGGAUAUCAUUUUUGCUUAUGAAAAGAUUGUUAGAGCAAUGUGACCAAUAUUAAAUUUCGGUGUUGCUACUUUAUUGAUUUCUAAAGAAUUAAAGCCGAUGUUAAAUUUUAGUAUUUUUGUGAGAUGUGAUUGGAUUGGAAGCCACGAGCUGGGAUUGUGAUUAUAAUAAUAAUAAAGGAGUUGAUAAUGAAGUGAUUCAAAGUGAUGAAUUUAAUGAAUAAUCCUAAAGAAACAAUACCAAACUUCAAUAAUUGAAUUAAUCCUUUUUCAAUAGUAAGUAUAAGUUUGUUAAUUAGAUUUGAGUUCUCUAAUGAUUCUUACUGAAAUAUGGGUUGACUUGAUUCCCUAAUUGAUUGUAUCCUUGAGAUUGAUUAGGUGACAUGUGCUUGGAAAAGUGAAACUCUAUACUUACUUUCUAUAUGUGGUCAGCUUGCUUCAUUUAUACUUGUCGUAAUUAUAGUUUACCCUAAUGACUAUUUAUUAUUCCUUAAUGUUAUAAGAGAGUGUUUGAUUGGUAAUCCGAGAGUUUAGUGUGAGUUGUCUAUGAUUAUUGGGUUUAUCCUAUAGAUGUGUGAUAACGCUCAAUCUACAGCUCUCGUGGGAGUGUAAAGCGGUCGUUAGCAAAUAUAGAACCCAACCUGGGUUGGGUAUCGAUCCCACAGAGAAUAGCUUGGCCAACAAGCAAGAGAAAUUACUAGACUUUUAGUGCAAGUCUCGUAGGAAAGGGGGGAUUGUAGUAUGUAACCAAAACAAGAAUGUAAGAACUGAAAAUAGCAAAAUAAAGAGAGAUUGUCACGUGUGUUGUAAACAAUGAGAAUUGAGGCGUUGGGGUUAUGUCCACCUUCUGAGGUAUACGUCUCUAUUGGCUAUGAGUGUGUAGAGUCUUGACAUGUAAUUGCUUAUAGAGAAUUGUAGUCGAUGGUAAAUCCAAGCGUCUCUCGACCUAAACAAGGACUAUUUCACUUUAACUCUCUCGAGCUUAAAGCGUGACUAACGGUACGAAUUCUCCAAGAAGUUAGUCCAGGUACGGCACUAGCUUUUUAAUAGGAAAGGGUGUCCUACUACCUUGACAUUAUCUCUUUUCCAGACAAAUAACUUUUCUCUCGAACAAGUCAGAUGUUAGACUGGCGUUGGUCUAUGCGUCUUCUUUUCUAGACAAAUAACCUUUCUCUCGAACAGGUUAGAUGUUAGAAUGGCGUGUUCUUGUGUUUGAACCGCAAAGAAUGUAGAUUUAAGAUGAAGAGAAUAAUGAUAUAAGCAAUAUACUUGUCUUGAACUCACAAACUCAUAGCUAUAGAUAGUAACUCAUUCGGCUUCCAUAACCCCAACUAAGAGAUUUAGUUACCCAUGAAUGCGAAGGAUAUCACGCUUUGCAUGGUGGAUGGCGUGAAUAGUAGGUGUUUGGCGUGUGGUUUUAGUGAUUCCGUAGCAAGUAACGAUUCUCUUGUUGUGGAAUUUAAGAGUAGAAGAAUGAAGAAUUGAGAAUGGGUUGUAGGAAGAUGUCUUAAUUGUAAGGAGAUGAAUGAAUUGUCAGAAUGUCUCCCUUCUUGAAAAUCUCUAACAUGAUAGGGUAUUUAUAAUACUCCUAUCCUACUCCUACUAAACUAAUAAAAUAAAUAACCAAAUCCUAAUAUACUAAUGAAAUCCUUGACCCAAUUGUACUAGGGUAAGGUUACAAAAUUAUAAUCCAAAUAGAAUGAUGAAACACAUAACCUAAUUGCACUAGGUUAAUGUAUUAUGGCAAAAAUCCAGCUUUGUGUCUGUAAGUCCCAAAGUCUUCAGAAAUGCUGUUUUAGCCCGGGACAGAUUUUCCAUGCAGCAGAUUUAGUCCUUUAUGCGUCCAGCUCCUUUCCAUCUCGUUUGUGAGCUUUCUUUUGCGUCAAGUAAGCCAUAAAUUGCUGUAUUUUGCAUCAUUUAUACCUGAAACUUUCCUAAUCACAUUUGUUAGCUCAUUUACAGGAAAAAGGACUAAAAGUGUACGAAAUAGAUAAUUAGUUCUCGAAACUAGGCUAAAAUAUGGGCAAAAUAUAUUGAUAUAGGCGCGUAAUUUCGCCUAUCAUCAACACCCCACACUUAGAGCUUUGUUCGUCCUCGAACAACAUAUCAUGUCCUUCUAAGCAUUGACUUAAGGUUUUUACAGAAACAACACAAAACAUUCUUCAAGACAAGCACAACAAUUAUCAACGAAGAGUAGCUUUCCGAUUAUAAGUAGAAACAAUUUAACCUCAAGCAUAGACUCGUGAUGGUGAUCAACUCGCAUGCAAACGUUUAAGGUACAUAGAAUCAUAUACAACUAUCCAAAACUCAUCAACCAUGUGUGUCUCACAAUAUAGUACCCAUAAUCACUCACAAGUAUAGCAUAUUUUUCAAACAUGGGCAGCAAAGUAUCCUUGCGCUCACUCUCACAAAGAAUUCAUAUGUAGCAGCUAAUGACCAUAGGCUUGCCCUUAAUGUAGUACUCCACUAAAUGUCGGAAUGUUAAGGUUAGGAUCAAGUAGGUCUUUUGAUGGUUGUAAUGUAGGCUAAGGGACGGGUAGGAUCAACUAUUUUGGCCAGAAAUAGUGACUAAGUUCCUAAGCACUUUAAUACAUCACAUUGUAUUAUUGACACUUUUUUGUAGCACCCUUGUUCUCCUCUUUUGUUUUUCAAUUUUAAAGCACAACUCACUUUUCAGCUUUCUUUUCCUUUUUCUUCUCACAACAUACCUCUUAUGAUAGCACUUUCUUUUUCAUAACAUAUUCAAGCACCAUUACAAUUUAAAGCAUCAUACUCAACCAAUUUCCUCUUAUGUUGUCACAUGACUUUUUCACUUUAAAGCACUUAGGAAUUUGGAUCAAAUUACGGUCUUGAAAAAAAAAUGAAUUAGGCUUACAUACAAGGUUGUCAAAGAAAUAGGCUAAAGGCUCAAAAGGGUUUAACUAGGAUGAUGUCCAUGGGUAGGUAAAACUGAAGGUAAACAAAUAUAGGUUGCCAAAGAAAUGCCUAAAUCAUAUCCUAAACUUACACUCCUUAUUUUCGCUUUGCAUACAUACCAGGCAAGUUCUAGCAUCAGCCACAUACAUAGAAUAUACUAUUAUCUCACACACACAAGGCACAUGGUCGACUUGAUUGGUAGCAAUAUAGACUCUCAACCCAACAAGUGAAGGAAUUGAAUCACACACUAUCACAUAAUGAGUCACAACUAGAGCCUAAAUGUCUCAAUAGUCACAAUUGUAAUACAUACUAUUGUUAUAAUCUCAUGCUGCCUAUUAAAAUAAUUUCAUGCGAGGCUAGAAAAAUUUUAACUACUAAAAACUAAAAAAAAAACGUCACACGAAAAAAAUCACAAAAAAAAAUCGGACUCAAAACAAAAUAAAUAAAACAAAAUAAACAAGCAAACAUACAAAUAUAGCAUGCAGAUUCUGCCGACACCCCACACUUAGACUAGACACUGCCCUCAGUGGAAAAUAAAGUCGAAGAACCUGAUUAGUCGGACUCUUCCUCAAUGUCAUACCCCCUUCGUUCGAGUCAUCGUAAGAGUCAUCGUCAGAGUUCUCCUCAGCAUCAGAAUCAGGCAAGCGUCUAUCAUCAUCAGUUGGCACGUCAUCAUCAAGAGGUUCCUCGAAAUAUACUCCCACUCCACACAUCUCCCGGGCAUGUCUGUUCAUUGGGUAGUCGUGGUCCAGCUGUUGGAGCUCUUCAGCAGUUGGAAUACGUCCACCACUCAUCAUAGUGAAUCUCGUCAUGCCAUAGAGAUGACGGAAGAAACUCUCGUCACGAGCAUGUCUCUCCGCAGUGGUAAGGUUGACUCCAUGCGUUGUUUCAGCAUCUUUGACCUUGGUGAGGUCAACCUUCUUUGGGGUAUGUGGGAGUUUGUGGUCAGCUGGUUCCUCCUCUAUAUCCUCCUUCCGCAACAUUGCUGUCAACAAAUUGCCGAAUGUGAAAUAGGACCAUUCACAUUCACAUCAGUCUGGCUUUCCUCAUGGUGGAUCGAAUGAUUGCCCCAAAGUUGAUAGGGACAUUCGUCAUUAAUGAAUAAACCAGGCACACUCUAUCUCUCGAUAUCUUUGUGUAUUGCGUCCCAGGAAUGAGGCAUGAGUUGACAAUGCGCAUCCAGAUUCUUGCUUCCCUAUUUAGUGGAGCAUAGGGGAAUGUGUUGUGACGGCCUGUUUCCUUAUGUCUGCCCCAUCUCGCCAUCGAUCUGCUUCCACAAAGCGUGUGUCUUAUAGCUCUGUAAGGAGGUCUGCUGUACAGCUCUUUGUAUGGUGCAGUGUCGACCGAAGGUAGGCCUAGAAACGAGUUGAUCCAAUCCGCUGUAAGCUGUAACACUUGGCCCCGAAUUUUGACUUCGUUGCCUGUUGUGUUUGGCGACCAGUUGGCAUAAAACUCUCUUGUCAAGUCAAGAUUGCACUCUCCCAUGUCACGGAAGAUGAAAUCCAGCUUCAAAGCCAUAAUCUUAGCCAACAUUUGCGGCUCCUUCUUUGCUAAGGUCUCCUUAUUGAUUAAGUCGACGUGCACAUAUUUCUUUUCUUUGUUGCUGCUGUACCAUGCCUUGGCUUCUUCCUCAAGAACCCAUUUGAUUCCGAACAUUCUGCGUGGUAGGUGUGCGGAAGAUGAUUCGCCUUGGUCUUUUCGGCUUCUCUUUUUGUCCUUGCGGGUUGUGGUAGCCUUCUCCUUGCCUUGCCUUGCUUUCGGUGCCAUUGUACCGCCUUUACCAUACAACGCGACCAAAUCGUCAAUUGAAAUCAAUCUCCUCGUUGCAUACUUCUUACACCUAUAUUUGCUCAAACAAAUGAAAACGAUUAGUACGAUGGGUUGCCUCCCACCAAGCGCCUUAGUUUUGGUCGUGGCACGACUCUUAUUUUUGGAUUUUCAUUUAUCAAAAAGAAAAAAUACUAAAACGACAAAACGAUAAAACAAUAAAACGAAGGGUUGCCUCCCAUCUAGCGCCUUAUUUAUUGUCGUGGCUCGACGUAGUAAUCUCGAGUACUUAGACUUCGUCGAGAUAAGUGAUGGCCAUGUCAUUUAUCGAGUCAAGAGGACCGAUAUAUGGCUUAACACGUUGGCCAUUCACCUUGAAGAUAACACCCUCAUUAUUUUCCAAUUCGACUACUCCAAACGAGUAGACGUGGGUGACUUUAAAUGGACCAGACCACUUUGAUUUUAACUUACCUGGGAAGAGCUUGAAUCUGGAGUUAAAGAGUAGCACCAUGUCACCUUUUUGGAAGUGUCGUCGAACAAUCCGCUGAUCGUGAUACUUCUUCAUCCGCUCCUUGUAUAAAUCUGAUCUUUCAUAAGCAUGGAGACGGAAUUCAUCUAGCUCGUUCAGCUGCUCCAACCUCAGGUUCUUCACAUCAUCCCAAUUCAGAUUCAAGUGCUUCAAUGCCCAUAAUGCCUUGUAUUCAAGCUCGAUGGGUAGAUGACAAGCCUUCCCAUAAACUAGCUGAUAAGGUGACAUGCCAAUGGGUGUCUUGAAUGCAGUCCUAUACGCCCAUAGUGCAUCAUCUAGCUUCCGAGACCAAUCCUUCCGAUUCGCAUUGACCGUCUUGGCAAGGAUUUGCUUGAUCUCCCGAUUGGAAACCUCUACUUGUCCACUAGUUUGGGGAUGAUAAGGCGUAGCUACCUUGUGUUGCUUGACUCCAUACUUGGCCAAUACAGAUUUGAAUAGCUUGUUGCAGAAGUGAGAUCCUCCAUCACUUAUGAUAGUACGAGGUACCCCAAAGCGAGAGAAGAUAUUCUUCUUUAAAAACGCUACAACACGCUUUCCUUCAUUAUCGGCCAAUGCUACAGCUUCAACCCAUUUCGACACAUAAUCCACAGCAACCAAGAUGUACUUCAUUCCAAACGAAUUUACGAAUGGUCCCAUGAAAUCAAUACCCCAUACAUCAAAGAGUUCUACCUCCAGGAUUGUGGACAUGGGCAUUUCAUGGUGUUUUGAAAUAACACCUUGACGUUGGCAUUGGUCACACCUUCUCACAUAGUCGUGUGCAUCUCUGAAUAUUGUAGGCCAAUAAUAACCACUUUGCAAGACUUUUCUUGCUGUUCGAUUACCCGCAUGAUGUCCUCCAACUUGCGAAGUGUGGCAUGCUUCUAAUAUAGUGGGCACUUCGUCAUGGGAUAUACAUCGUCGAAUGAUACCAUCCGCACAUCUUCGAAACAAAUAAGGCUCAUCCCAAUAAUAGUGCUGAACGUCAUGCAUAAACUUCCUCCUCUGGUGGUAAGAUAAAUUUGUAGGUAACACAUUACUCACCACGAAAUUCGCAAAGUCGGCAUACCAUGGUAAGUCUUCUAUUGUUGUCGCUAAUAUCUCCUCGUCAGGGAAUGCAUCGCCAAUCUGAUUUUCUGAUUGCGCCACAUACUCAUUCUCAAGUCUAGAUAGGUGAUCAGCCACUUGGUUCUCGCAACCUCUUCUAUCUUUGACUUCGAAAUCAAACUCUUGCAGCAGCAACACCCAUCGAAUCAGCCUUGGUUUUGCAUCCUUCUUUGUCAUUAGAUACCUAAGAGCUGCAUGGUCUGUAUGAACGAUCACUUUAGUACCUAAUAGGUAGGCGCGGAACUUCUCAAACGCAUACACAACCGCUAAUAGCUCUUGUUCAGUGACGGUGUAGUUCCUUUGGGCUUCAUUGAGGACCUUACUCGCAUAGUAGAUAGGAUGAAAUAAUUUCUCCUUUCUCUGUCCAAGAACAGCACCAACGGCUACACCACUAGCAUCACACAUGACUUCGAACGGGAGCGUCCAAUCUGGUGUUACCAUGAUAGGGGCUUCAACGAGUUUUUCUUUAAGGCAUUCAAAUGCCUUUAAGCAAUCAUCAUUAAAGUCAAACUUCGCAUCUUUCUCCAAUAGCUUGCAUAAUGGACUAGAAAUUUUGGAGAAGUCUUUGAUGAAUCUACGAUAAAACCCAGCAUGGCCAAGAAAACUACGAACUCCCUUCACCGAAAUUGGAGGUGGUAGCUUCUCAAUUACCUCUAUUUUGGCGCGAUCAACCUCUAUUCCUUUUUCGGAGAUCUUGUGCCCAAGAACAAUUCCUUCUUUUACCAUGAAGUGGCACUUCUCCCAAUUCAGCACAAGGUUGAACUCUACACAUCUUUGUAAUGCCAUGCUUAAAUUCACCAAACAUGCUUCGAAAGACUCCCCAACAACUGAAAAGUCGUCCAUAAAUACCUCCAAAGUGUCUUCUACCAUAUCAGAGAAAAUAGACAUCAUACAUCGCUGAAAGGUGGCUGGUGCAUUACAUAACCCGAAUGGCAUACGUUUGAAGGCAAACGUACCAUAUGGGCAUGUAAACGUUGUCUUCUCUUGGUCUUCUGGUGCAAUAAAAAUCUGAUUAUAACCUGAAUAACCAUCAAGAAAGCAAAACCAUCCUUUUCCCGCUAAUCGAUCUAGCAUUUGGUCCAUAAAUGGCAUGGGGAAGUGAUCCUUGAGAGUCCAAGAAUUCAGCUUGCGGUAGUCCAUGCAUACUCUCCAUCCAGUGACGGGCCUGAGUGGAAUAAGCUCAUUCUUUGCAUUCGCAACCACCGUCAUACCUCCUUUCUUGGGAACACAUUGUACUGGGCUUACCCAUGUACUAUCAGAAAUAGGAUACACAACUCCUGCGUCUAACCACUUGAUAAUCUCCUUCUUCACCACCUCUUGCAUUGGUGGGUUUAGACGUCUUUGGUGUUCGAUGGUGGGUGUGCACUUUUCUUGGAGCUGAAUUUUAUGAGUGCAAAUUCCAGGUGGAAUACCAAGGAUAUCCGCAAUGGUCCAUCCAAUAGCUCUAAUAUACUUGCGUAAAAUUGCAAUAAGAGCUGCAACUUGUUGCUCACCUAAAUCGGCUGCCACUAUGACUGGAAGAGUGUUUCCGCUUCCUAAGAAUGCAUACUUCAAAUGGCUUGGCAGCUCCUUUAAUUCUAAUGUGGGUGGUUCUUCAAUAGAUGGCUUAGCUGGUGGUGUGGGUCGAUUCUUGAGAUCAAGAUCCAGCUUCUUAGGAGGAUAGCGAUAUGCUCCUAAUCCCGAUAGAGCACAAAUAUCAUCUUCAGAAAUUUCAGCAUCAUCAUCAUCUUCUUCCAUGAGCAAAACCUCCAAAGGAUCAUCAAGAAUUUGUUCUUCAGCAAGUAACUCAUCCUCGUCAUCAACGACAACAUCAGUCACAGAAAAUACACUUAGAUCUUUGGGUUGCUUCAUUGAUUUGCAAACAUCAAAGCGCACCACUUCAUCAUUUAUUCGGAAUGAAAGUUCAUUAGCUCUCAAAUCUAUGAGCACACUUCCCGUAGCAAGGAAAGGGCGUCCCAAGAUUAUGGGAACCUCUGAAUCUGCUUCGCAAUCCAAGAUGACAAAGUCUGCUGGAAAUAUGAAUGAAGAUACCUUCACCAAGACAUCGCAUAGAAUACCAACCGGUCGUUUUACCGACCUAUCCGCCAUAACAAGCUUCAUAUUAGUUGGUGUAGGAUCUCCCAACCCCAACUUCUUGUAGAUUGAUAAUGGCAUCAAGUUGAUGCUGGCUCCUAAGUCACAUAAUGCUUUAGCAAAGUCCAAAGAUCCGACGGUGCAAGGAAUAGUGAAAGCUCCGGGGUCGGCCUUCUUCUGAACUAUGGAUCGGGUAGCUAUUGCACUACAAUGAUGCACAUCUUCUUUCAGCUCAUAGCUUGCUGCCCUCUUCUUAGUCAAAAGAUCUUUCAUAAACUUCGCAUACCCAGGCAUUUGUUCAAGUGCCUCUACCAAUGGGACAUUAAUAGUCAGCUGCUUCAAGAUGGUCAUGAACUUGCUGAACUUAGUGUCAUCGGCCGCCUUCUUCAGUCUUUGUGGAAAAGGUGGUGGUGGGUAUGGAAGUGUUCUUUCCAUGGCUUUCUUCUCCUCUUGCUUCCGUUUAUUACUUUUUUCAGGCUGCACGUCACUAGGCAACACGUCCUUGACGUUGGAAGUGGAUAUUGCGGCGUCUUCCCUAGUGGCGUCACUAGGUGUGGCGGUUGUGUCUGCUGUUCUGUCAACUAUUUGCUUGCCUUCUGCUGAAGUUUCCAGCACCUUACCACUCCUCGUAGUGAUGGCCAUGCAUGACCCAUCAGUCCUUGGAUUUUGCACCGUAUCGCUAGGCAAGGUGCCGGCUUUUCUUUGGUUGAGUGUUGCUGAAAGUUGACUGAAUUGCUGCUCUAGUUGCUUGAUAGAAGUGGAAUGAGAAUCAACUAAUUGCUUCAUGGAGGCCAAAUCGUCAAUCACCUCCUUAACUCCCGCAUUCGUCGCUUCCACUCCUUUCAAUAACUUAGCCAUCAUGUCUUCCAUAGAAUUAGAUGUGGUGGUAUCACGUCUACCAGGGGGAACGUACAAACCACUGUUUUCAUUAUUUUUCUUCCAACUACCUUGGUCUUUACCUCCAGAUUUGUCAUAAUAGUUCCGACCUUGGUUUCCUUGGGCAUUCCCACGGAAACCCCCCUGAUUGUUCAAGUAGUUGGCCUCCUCUUCUGAAUCAGAUUCGUCUCUUCCUUUUGACGCAAUAGAUUUCACUUUUUCAGUCUUCCCUAAUAGAUGCUUUGUAAGAAGAUCCAUUUGGGUUUUCAUGUGCGCCAUAUCUUGAUCACGUUCUUCUUCUCUCCUUCUUUGAUCUGCAGACAUGCCAAUAGAUAAAGUGGGGCUUGCUACCUCAGAAUCCCUGGUAUGCCAAGCUCUACUUUGUUUCGUCAUACGAUCUAGCAUGUUGCUUGCUUGACCAAAGGUGAGGUCCAUAAAAGAACCUCCAGCUGCGUUGUCCACCACUGGUUUAGUUACUGAAUUCAAGGCUCUAUAUAAGAUCUCCAUGAGGUGAACAUUAGUCAUGUGAUGGUUUGGGCAUCUCGCUAGCUUUGUCUUGAACCUCUCCCAUGUUUCGUGAAGAGCUUCAGAGGGAAGCUGACGAAAGUUGCUGAUUUCAUCUCUCAAUUGAGCCCUCUUGGAUGGCGGAAAGAAUCUUUCUAGGAAAGCGUCUCUCAAUUGCCUCCAAUUUGUAAUAGAAUCAGGAGUCAGCCCAUUCAACCAUAAUGUUGCCUCCCCAGACAGAGACAAUGGAAAUAGACGUAAUCGAAUAGCAUUCUGACCAACUCCAGGAUUGUCAAAAGACUUGCAUGUAGAAAUAAAGUUGAUGAGAUGCAUAUUCGGAUCAUCGCCUGCUAGUCCACCAAAUAAUCCCUUGAGUUGCAAUAACUGAAUCAUGGUGCUAGUGAUGUUGAACUUGGCUCCGGGCGCUAAUGGUGGUGGAAUUAUAGCUCCAGUGGCUCCGGCACCAUCAAGAUCAUCAUCAUCAUCGUCGAAAGCUGGUUGCAAAGGUUGGCGAUCAUAUCUGUACCGAGCUUGUCGACCUCGUCUGUUGGUAGGUGUUGCCAUUUCAGCGCCAUGCCUUGGGUUGAUCAACUCGUCAUCUCCUAAAUCUUCAUCGUCAGGAUUUGUUGCUCGUCCAGGAUUAUCAAUGUUUUGUUGUUGGACUUGAGCAGCGGCAAGAGCAGCUAAUCUUGCUUGCUCAUGUUGAGCAGCCAUCCUGUCGAUUUCCGCUUGUGCUUCCAUUCUUCUGAUUCGUUGUGGUUCCGGAUUGAUUGGUAAUAACGGUUGACCAGAACUUCUAGUAUGGGGCAUGCACUAAAAGAAAAACCUGCAAUAAACAAAAACAAAAACUAAACGUAAAAGUACGAGAAUCUUUGACCAAAGGGUCUAGUAAUUUUCACGAACUUGAUUGACACUCGUAUUCCCCGGCAACGGCGCCAAUUUUUGAUAACGCUCAAUCUACAGCUCUCGUGGGAGUGUAAAGCGGUCGUUAGCAAAUAUAGAACCCAACCUGGGUUGGGUAUCGAUCCCACAGAGAAUAGCUUGGCCAACAAGCAAGAAAAAUUACUAGACUUUUAGUGCAAGUCUCGUAGGAAAGGGGGGAUUGUAGUAUGUAACCAAAACAAGAAUGUAAGAACUGAAAAUAGCAAAAUAAAGAGAGAUUGUCACGUGUGUUGUAAACAAUGAGAAUUGAGGCGUUGGGGUUAUGUCCACCUUCUGAGGUAUACGUCUCUAUUGGCUAUGAGUGUGUAGAGUCUUGACAUGUAAUUGCUUAUAGAGAAUUGUAGUCGAUGGUAAAUCCAAGCGUCUCUCGACCUAAACAAGGACUAUUUCACUUUAACUCUCUCGAGCUUAAAGCGUGACUAACGGUACGAAUUCUCCAAGAAGUUAGUCCAGGUACGGCACUAGCUUUUUAAUAGGAAAGGGUGUCCUACUACCUUGACAUUAUCUCUUUUCCAGACAAAUAACUUUUCUCUCGAACAAGUCAGAUGUUAGACUGGCGUUGGUCUAUGCGUCUUCUUUUCUAGACAAAUAACCUUUCUCUCGAACAGGUUAGAUGUUAGAAUGGCGUGUUCUUGUGUUUGAACCGCAAAGAAUGUAGAUUUAAGAUGAAGAGAAUAAUGAUAUAAGCAAUAUACUUGUCUUGAACUCACAAACUCAUAGCUAUAGAUAGUAACUCAUUCGGCUUCCAUAACCCCAACUAAGAGAUUUAGUUACCCAUGAAUGCGAAGGAUAUCACGUUUUGCAUGGUGGAUGGCGUGAAUAGUAGGUGUUUGGCGUGUGGUUUUAGUGAUUCCGUAGCAAGUAACAAUUCUCUUGUUGUGGAAUUUAAGAGUAGAAGAAUGAAGAAUUGAGAAUGGGUUGUAGGAAGAUGUCUUAAUUGUAAGGAGAUGAAUGAAUUGUCAGAAUGUCUCCCUUCUUGAAAAUCUCUAACAUGAUAGGGUAUUUAUAAUACUCCUAUCCUACUCCUACUAAACUAAUAAAAUAAAUAACCAAAUCCUAAUAUACUAAUGAAAUCCUUGACCCAAUUGUACUAGGGUAAGGUUACAAAAUUAUAAUCCAAAUAGAAUGAUGAAACACAUAACCUAAUUGCACUAGGUUAAUGUAUUAUGGCAAAAAUCCAGCUUUGUGUCUGUAAGUCCCAAAGUCUUCAGAAAUGCUGUUUUAGCCCGGGACAGAUUUUCCAUGCAGCAGAUUUAGUCCUUUAUGCGUCCAGCUCCUUUCCAUCUCGUUUGUGAGCUUUCUUUUGCGUCAAGUAAGCCAUAAAUUGCUGUAUUUUGCAUCAUUUAUACCUGAAACUUUCCUAAUCACAUUUGUUAGCUCAUUUACAGGAAAAAGGACUAAAAGUGUACGAAAUAGAUAAUUAGUUCUCGAAACUAGGCUAAAAUAUGGGCAAAAUAUAUUGAUAUAGGCGCGUAAUUUCGCCUAUCAUCAACACCCCACACUUAGAGCUUUGUUCGUCCUCGAACAACAUAUCAUGUCCUUCUAAGCAUUGACUUAAGGUUUUUACAGAAACAACACAAAACAUUCUUCAAGACAAGCACAACAAUUAUCAACGAAGAGUAGCUUUCCGAUUAUAAGUAGAAACAAUUUAACCUCAAGCAUAGACUCGUGAUGGUGAUCAACUCGCAUGCAAACGUUUAAGGUACAUAGAAUCAUAUACAACUAUCCAAAACUCAUCAACCAUGUGUGUCUCACAAUAUAGUACCCAUAAUCACUCACAAGUAUAGCAUAUUUUUCAAACAUGGGCAGCAAAGUAUCCUUGCGCUCACUCUCACAAAGAAUUCAUAUGUAGCAGCUAAUGACCAUAGGCUUGCCCUUAAUGUAGUACUCCACUAAAUGUCGGAAUGUUAAGGUUAGGAUCAAGUAGGUCUUUUGAUGGUUGUAAUGUAGGCUAAGGGACGGGUAGGAUCAACUAUUUUGGCCAGAAAUAGUGACUAAGUUCCUAAGCACUUUAAUACAUCACAUUGUAUUAUUGACACUUUUUUGUAGCACCCUUGUUCUCCUCUUUUGUUUUUCAAUUUUAAAGCACAACUCACUUUUCAGCUUUCUUUUCCUUUUUCUUCUCACAACAUACCUCUUAUGAUAGCACUUUCUUUUUCAUAACAUAUUCAAGCACCAUUACAAUUUAAAGCAUCAUACUCAACCAAUUUCCUCUUAUGUUGUCACAUGACUUUUUCACUUUAAAGCACUUAGGAAUUUGGAUCAAAUUACGGUCUUGAAAAAAAAAUGAAUUACGUGACACCAACUUGUCACUUUACGGUGACCUUCUGAUCACAUGACAACAACUUUACCGUGACCUCUUCCUGGUCACGUGAGGACAACUUUACCAUGACCUCCUCCUGGUUAUGUGACAACAACUUUACUUUACCGUGGCCUCCUGGUCACGUGACACCAACUUGUCACUUUACGGUGACCUUCUGAUCACAUGACAACAACUUUACCGUGACCUCUUCCUGGUCACGUGAGGACAACUUUACCAUGACCUCCUCCUGGUUAUGUGACAACAACUUUACUUUACCGUGGCCUCCUGGUCACGUGACACCAACUUGUCAAUUUACGGUGACCUUCUGAUCACAUGACAACAACUUUACCGUGACCUCCUCGUCACGUGACACCAAAUUUAGGAGGUCACAUGACAACAAUUCGGUCAGUGACAACAACUUUACCAGUUACAUCAAGCAAAUAAUCGAAAAAGAAAAUUAUUUUUACCUCCUAGUGGAAUAAAGUCCAACAGCAGGUGCAUAACCAUUGAACUUAGCAGAUUUAACAGCACUAUAGAUUGCAUCUUCAGCAGCUGAAGAAGUUCGAAAACAUGGUAUUGCAGAUGGGUCACCUCUACCCAAAUGAAUUUUUGACCUGUUAUCAUCAUCUUCUUUGAGAUUUUGCAUUAACAUUUCGAGUACUGAUCGAAUUGAGAACAAUGAUUUCUCCUUUAAAUCACCAUUGUUGAAACCCCAUUUGCUCAGUUUUUUCUCCAUUGUUGUUGAGACUUUUCUCGGAGUUAACGGCAAAUCAACAUACAUGCACAGUUAUAUAAAUGAAGAAAAAUAUUAAUCCCUCUGUUACUUUUACUUAUUCCUAUUUUCACUUAUACAUUCAUCAGUGAAAUAGUAAUAAUUAGCAUAGCUAUUUUAUUAAAAAAAAAUGACAUAAAUAUAUCAUUUAACUUAUCAUAUAUACAUAAAUCUUUAUUCUUAAAAAUUAGUUACAAAAAUUCAACGAAUUAUAUGUCUUUGUUGAAUAUAUCGGAAGUCAAUUAUGUAUCUCGUCAGACCCUCCCAAAAAAAUCAAGAGUUAAUUAUGUAUCUUAACAAAGGAAAAAUAUAUCUUUAUUGGAUUGAAUGUAUUUAGUAUCUCGACAGACUUAAAAUCAAUAAAAAUGUAUUGAAAGCAAAUUAUGUAUUUUUCCGGGUGAAUUUCAAAAAUAGAUCCAAAUUUGGUGGCUUUCAAAUUUUAGCUCCAAAUAAAAAAACUUCCUUAAAAUAGCUUUUACCUAUUAAGUAAUACUUUUUUGGACAAAAUUAUCCCUGAUCAAUAGAUUAACAUAUUGGAUAGAAACUCCAUAUUUAUAUCUUUCAACUUUUAUUNNNNNNNNNNNNNNNNNNNNNNNNNNNNNNNNNNNNNNNNNNNNNNNNNNNNNNNNNNNNNNNNNNNNNNNNNNNNNNNNNNNNNNNNNNNNNNNNNNNNNNNNNNNNNNNNNNNNNNNNNNNNNNNNNNNNNNNNNNNNNNNNNNNNNNNNNNNNNNNNNNNNNNNNNNNNNNNNNNNNNNNNNNNNNNNNNNNNNNNNNNNNNNNNNNNNNNNNNNNNNNNNNNNNNNNNNNNNNNNNNNNNNNNNNNNNNNNNNNNNNNNNNNNNNNNNNNNNNNNNNNNNNNNNNNNNNNNNNNNNNNNNNNNNNNNNNNNNNNNNNNNNNNNNNNNNNNNNNNNNNNNNNNNNNNNNNNNNNNNNNNNNNNNNNNNNNNNNNNNNNNNNNNNNNNNNNNNNNNNNNNNNNNNNNNNNNNNNNNNNNNNNNNNNNNNNNNNNNNNNNNNNNNNNNNNNNNNNNNNNNNNNNNNNNNNNNNNNNNNNNNNNNNNNNNNNNNNNNNNNNNNNNNNNNNNNNNNNNNNNNNNNNNNNNNNNNNNNNNNNNNNNNNNNNNNNNNNNNNNNNNNNNNNNNNNNNNNNNNNNNNNNNNNNNNNNNNNNNNNNNNNNNNNNNNNNNNNNNNNNNNNNNNNNNNNNNNNNNNNNNNNNNNNNNNNNNNNNNNNNNNNNNNNNNNNNNNNNNNNNNNNNNNNNNNNNNNNNNNNNNNNNNNNNNNNNNNNNNNNNNNNNNNNNNNNNNNNNNNNNNNNNNNNNNNNNNNNNNNNNNNNNNNNNNNNNNNNNNNNNNNNNNNNNCCCCCCUCUUUUUAAAAUCUCUAACAUGAUAGGGUAUUUAUAAUACUCCUAUCCUACUCCUACUAAACUAAUAAAAUAAAUAACCAAAUCCUAAUAUACUAAUGAAAUCCUUGACCCAAUUGUACUAGGGUAAGGUUACAAAAUUAUAAUCCAAAUAGAAUGAUGAAACACAUAACCUAAUUGCACUAGGUUAAUGUAUUAUGGCAAAAAUCCAGCUUUGUGUCUGUAAGUCCCAAAGUCUUCAGAAAUGCUGUUUUAGCCCGGGACAGAUUUUCCAUGCAGCAGAUUUAGUCCUUUAUGCGUCCAGCUCCUUUCCAUCUCGUUUGUGAGCUUUCUUUUGCGUCAAGUAAGCCAUAAAUUGCUGUAUUUUGCAUCAUUUAUACCUGAAACUUUCCUAAUCACAUUUGUUAGCUCAUUUACAGGAAAAAGGACUAAAAGUGUACGAAAUAGAUAAUUAGUUCUCGAAACUAGGCUAAAAUAUGGGCAAAAUAUAUUGAUAUAGGCGCGUAAUUUCGCCUAUCAUCAAUGUGGAUAAUGAAAAAGGUAAUGUAAAUAAAGGUGUGACAAUGAUGGUUUAGUGUUGCAUUGUGAUAGAUGGUGUUCAUUAAUGAGGCUGGACUACGCUAGUGGUGAAUAUAAUAUCGUUAAUAGAGUUGGAGAAUCGUAAAUUAUACAGGAAAAAUGUUAUGAUGAUAUUACAACCUUAGUUGAAUUAUAUUACAUUUAUUGUCAUAAUUUCUUUUCUUUAAUUCUAUUUUAUGAUUAUGUGAACUAACAUUGGUCAACUGAUGAUGCCUACCAGUAUGUGUGUUUGUACAGACCCUACUCUUCUACAUUCCUUCUUAGAGUGUGGACUGGAUAUAGGUUAGUUUGCAGUUACUCAAUGGAUAGUGGUAUUCAACACUAACUUCUAUACUUUCUUCUUGACAGAUGUUAGAGUCUUUAUUUUAAUUAUUUUACUGUCAGUCUAUUAUGUAAUAGGUAGCUCUUGUACCUGUUUGACCAGGUCUUGGGGUAGUGAAGGACAAUUGUAAGAAGUUUUUUUAAAAAAAUAUUUAUUGAUAUUUAAUUUACUUUAUUAUAUUUAAUUCAGUAUUCUCUAAAAACAGAAGUUUUUCGUAUUUUUUUAGUUGGGUGAUAAGGGUUCUCCUAGCUACGUAGGUGUCCAGUUGGUCCGUUAGUUUGGGUCGUGUCAUAUGCAUGAGUGAUACUAGGAUGUAAUGAUCACAACCAAUCAUUAUGAAAAUCUAAAUCCAUCCAAUACAAGUGAGCUUAAAAUCAACUUAAUGUAUCAAUAAUUCAUACUAGCAGUUUCAAUAAAUAGUCAUGUAGUCAUUAAUAUUAUCAUUUUUAACCCCUCAUUUGAGCACCACUAUAAUGAUAAUGCAAUUAAAUGCUCAGAUUAGACCUACAAUGUUAAGUCAAGCCCGCACUCGGAUGACACAAUAAUAUAUACCACAUUAUAAUACAAAGAUAAGGCCUAUGAUGAUAAGUUAAGCCCCCACUUGGGCGAUUCAAUAAUAUAUAAGGCAUUUAAUACACAAAUAUGAUCAAUAACAUCAAGUCAAGCCCCAACUCAUCCAUCAAAAUAAUAUAUUCUCUCAAAUCAAAAGUAAUAUGUAUAUAAGCUCCCACUCAGACACACAAUCAUAAAUAAUUACUGAAGUCAUAACGAACUUCAUAUAAGCCCCCACACGGGAAACACGAAAUAAAUAAUAAUUUUGAUAAUAAUAAAUUGUGGACUAUUCAAAUCUAGCUUGUUCAAUGUACUAAGAAUCAUCAACUAUUUCAAGUUUAUUCAUACUGUAAGUAUCCUCUGAACCUCAAUCAUUCCAUCAAAUAGCGAUAGCAACAUAAUCAUCCUCUAAAUUUUUUUUAAAACCUUAAUCAUUACGUCAAAGCCACUAAACAUGAUUCAAACUCUAAAUUAGGUAUCCACUAUCAAUAUUAUUCAAGAUCAAUGAGCUAACUAUCUACAAUUUAUUCAAAGUAUAUUCACAAGUAUCAAGACUAACUAAGAUAAGAAACUACAUAACUAUGACCGAUCAAAAGACUUUGAUAUCCUUAGAGAUACUUGUCAUUUUACCUAAGCAGGACCCUCAAUCCUAAGCAUUUUCCAAAAUAUGAACAAGCAAACAUACAACAGAUAAACAUUUUAGAGAAAGUCAAGGUACAUUUCAACUUGCCUUUAAAGAAGAUCCGCAUGCCAAAACACAAUUCAAAGCAUCAGCCAAAAGCUCUACUCCCAUGGAUCAACACUGCCAUAUCCAAUCUAAUCAAAUUUGACAUCUAUAAAUCAAAAAGUGUCCAACGAGCCCAUAUGAACUCUAUUUUAUACGGGUUUAAAAAAGGUUCAAAAAUUGAUUCAAAGAAAAAAAGGAGAAAACUAAUAUUAUAUUUUAGAAAUACGUUCCUCAUGACAUUAGGAACCUACAUUCAAAACCACACAAAAUGAGGUAAAACAUGGUCUAAAUUGAAGAAAACUAUUUUAAAGCUUUAACGCUAAAAACUACAAAAUUAAAUUUAAAAUAAAAAAUUUAAAGAUGAAUUUAUAAUAAAAUCAGUUUCAAAAGUGAUAAAUACAAUACUUAUAAACAUACCCCCAAAAGGAAUUUCGAAAACCCCUUUGAAAAUCCUCAAAUCCGUGCUCUCAAGCUCCAAAAUUGGUGAAAAUUUUGUAAUGGAGUUUUAAAUCUCAAAUUUUGUUAGGAAUCAUGAAAAAUGAUAUGGAUAUUCUUGGAAAAUGAUAAGAGUGAAGGUAAAAUCACAUAGUAAAUGAUUAUUCGAGAAAAAUGCAUUGAGAAUCGUCAAAAAUGGAGCUUUCUAACUCCCAAAAUGUCAAAAAUAUGAAAUGGGAAGAAGUUUGAUAUUUAUAUAUAUUCAAGUACGAUUUUUGUAGCUAAAGUUAGUUUUUCAUAGCUAAAAAAAUUAUUUUUCCGUAGUUAAAGGUGUGCACCAACAACCUUUUUUACCAAUAACUUUUAUUUUCACUAAAAAAAUUCCUCAUACGAUAGAGAAAUGCACCAAUUUUUUCUGUAAUUUUACAAUAAUCAUACAAAUAUAUUUGUUUAGUAGGAACUCAGUUUCAUGCACAUUUUCCUAGUUAAAUAUUAUUUUUACUCAAUAAAGAAUUAUUUCAUGUUUUACAAUAAAAAUUGAAUCUCGAGUUACCGAAAUUACACCAAACUCUCCAUAUCAAUCCUAUAACACAUGCAUAACACUUCAAAAGUUUCAAAAUAAUUUUUUGAUCUUUUAAAGUUAUAAUAAACUUUUUUAUCAAUCGAUUUUAUUUAAAUAGGACCAAAACAUCCAAAAUUUUUAAAAUCUUAUUCUAAACUCAUCUGGAACCUUUUGAACACAAACCAUAUAUGCUAAUAACUUGGAAUCGACAUUGUAGACUCAAUGAAAUUGUCAGAUUUAUAAAAGAAGAUCGUUUAUAAUAAAUUAAACUCCAUAACCCUUUAUAGGCUAUUUUAACUAAUUUUAGAAUGGAGGGUCAAAAUGUAAAAUAAAAGCUUGAAACCCAAAAUAACCAUGCUACAAACCAAAAAUCAAUAUUUCAAAUUUAAUGGAACUGUUAGAUAACUAUCCGAUGCUCAGAUCAUGGCAUAUUGAUCGAAGACAAACUAAUAUCUUUAAUGAUGUCCAAAAUUAAAAGCUCAUAUAAAAUACUUACGAAUCAUCGGGGAUCAUGCAAUCAUUUUUGUAACUUAUAAAUAAGAUAAGACAACUACAGAGAAGGACAAAAUGGUUAAAACAUAGUAAUUUCUAAAUUUUCAUAUGAGGGCCAUUACACUAAGACAUUACGUAGACGUUUGGCCAUGUAAUUUGGAGAUCAAAUUUAAAGUUUUAGUUUAAAAUCAGUGCCUGUCUAUCAAAUAUAAAUCCUACUGAAAGCUAUAAUUUUGAUCUCAAGUUUGUAAUUUCAAUUUUUUUAAAAUUUAAAAUUUGGCCCAUAUAUUAUCUUUUAUGAAAAAGGAUUCAUAAUUUUAAUUUUGGUACAAAAAGACUCAUGCUAGAUGUGAAAAGUGAAAAAAUGUAUGUAUCAUACGAGAUAAUUAUAUUAAAGAUAACUGUAUUUAAAAAAAUAAUGCAUGCAUUAGUAUUAUAUACUAUUAAUACUUCGUUUGAGAUAAUAUUUUUUUUAGCCUAUGUAUAAUUAAUGCAAGCAUUAGUUGUACACCCUAUUGUGUAUUAAUGGAUACAUUACUAAUGCCACCUUUUUCAUGUAUUAGUAAUACAAAGGGUUUCAACACAUGCAUUAACUUGAUUAAUGACUUUAAUACUCCUCAAUUUCCCUCUCAAAAUAUUUCACAAAUUAUUUUUUCACCCUUUUAAUUUGCAAUAGUGAAUCCUCUCAAAACAUUUCACAAUUUUUUUUCCAUUAUUUUAAUUAGCAACAUGUAACUUUACUUUGAUUUGAGGGUCUUUAAAAAGUUAAAUAUUUUUUUGAGACUAUUCCUUGAUUCUACAUUUUGUAUUUUAUUUUUGUUUUGUCUAUAUUAAUCUUGUUGGAUUUUUGUUUAAUUUAAAUUAAUAUUUAUAAGAGGUUUCCUUUUAAUGAAGUGUCUUUUGAUGAAAAGGUAUCUUUUAAUGAAAGGGUGUAUCCGUUCAUUGUAUAGUUUUCACCUAUUCUAAUUAAAUCUAACCUCCUGCUGUUUCAAAGGUAAUUUUGCUGAGAAACCUUUUAUAGAGAAGACUUUACAACGUUCUUUCAAAAAAUCUCUUUCUUCAAAAAAAAAAUUCAAGUUCAAGUUAUUGUUUUUCAAUAGAAUUAUCUUCAUUAUUUACUUGGUGCAGAAAUCCAAAGGCUUGUUAUAUCCACUAAUACUAUUUGCAUAUAAUAUCAUAGUAAUCCCACAGAGGAGAGAGAGAGAAAAUAUCAUUUUUAUAUAAAUGUUUCAUGCAUGUUUCAAGCCUUUUACUCUGUGUUUGUUGUUCAGAUUAUUAAGUCUUCAUCUUUAUGUUCUUCUUCGUAUAUUUUGUAUGUGUCCAUAAAACAUAUUUUCCAACAAUCUAAAAAUGAUAUUUAUGUUAGGAAGAAGAAAUAAUUUUCUUAUCGAUAAAAAGGGAAAAACAGUAAAUUAUGAUGAGGUGGUUGUUCGAGAAUUUGGUUUGAAGGUUUACAGAAGAGUUCUAAAUUUUAUGGUAUAAAAAGAAAAGUUUGAAAUCGGGGGCAGUGCUGGAUAGAAGAAUGCAACAACAGUGAUUUGUUCAGUGAAACAUGGUCAGCAUUGGACAUCUAUAUAUAUUUAGUUGAAAGAAGGACACGGUGCAUUACCAUUUAUACUUUAGGACCGGUGACUAUCGGCAUGGUGACUGUUGUUCUAGACUGUACACGAGACCUAGUAUUAGUCCUACUUCUCUUCUGUCAUUGAUUUAAAGGAAGUCAAAAUAAAAAUAAUUUUUAAUAUUUGGCCCAAUAAUAAAAAUAAUAAUAUUAUCUGAGUACUAAUGAGAGUAGUACAACAAUUUGCUGAAUGAAGAAGUCUUGUGCACUCUGACUAAUACUACAAGGGCUAGUCUUGUACAAGUCCAUAUACAAGUGGAAACCAUCAAGAGGGAUAGACAUCAAUUGGCAUCGGGUGCAUUGGAGAAGUUAAAUAAAAGUCAUUACAGUUUGUGGUUCACACAAAAACAUUCAGAGGAGAUUAAAAGUUGCUUGGAUUAUAAAAAAAAUCUCAAGGUUUCUUUCAGAGAUAAUGACUUUUAUAUUUGAUAUGGAAAAGAGAUCGUCAAAGUACUGAUGGAAUACGAUAAAAUCGGGUUCUACUCUCUUAAUUCUAUUUAUUAUUUAUUUAUAAGUUUCUUAUUUUUAUAACUUUGUCAAUUUAUUUUCAUAAAUGGUAGGGUAGAUGAUAUUUGUGAUUAUCUUCUAUUGCUUAAUAAUUUUAGGAAUAAUAUUUUUUAUGUGAUCAUUGUGGAUCGUUAUUCUUGUAUAAAAAUCAUAUAUGAAAUUUAUUGUCAAGUUGUAGGAUGAUAUGAAAAACGCACAUUAUUUACAAGUAAGUGAGUAUACUUGAAAAUUAUUACAAGUGAAUAUGAGAUCUAGAGAACAUGAGUUAGUUAUUUUAGUUUUCUCUAUAUGUGAUAUGAAAACGUACUUGAUAUGUCUAAAGUGUAGGUAUGUGUGGCAUGUGAUUAGAAGUCAAUAUUAGACUUAAAAUUAUUUAAUAUAUAUUUAAAGAGGAUAAACUAUUUGAGAUAGUCAAUAUGUCUUCACUUUAGAAUUCUUAAUGAAUAUUUUCAUGUGUGUGAUAGAUUGUCGAUGCUGAGCGAAAGAAUCCAUAAGAGAUUUUAUUUACACAUUUUAAAUGAAGGAUCUUGGAGAAAUUAGUACUAUGUUGGGUAUCAAGACUAAAAAAAUAGUGGGGGUAUGUGUUGUUCUCAUUACAUGAAAAAGUGCAAAAUAAAUCUAGUCACUUAAACACAAAAGUGAUCAAUACCCUAUUUGAUCCUAGAUUGAGUCAGUCCAUGAUGAUGAAAGAACCGUGGCUAAUUAACUUAUGUAAACAAGUGCUAUUAAAGGGGCCAGUAGCUAAGUUUUCAUUUUCUUUAGAGAACUAGAGAUUUGAGAAACUCUAAGUUUCAUAAUAUGUUAUAUAGAUAUACCGAUACAAGUUGGUAUCGAAAAUGUGAGAAAAAUAAAUUUAUCACAUAAUGGAUACUUACCUUGUGAGGAGGUGCAAUUUCUUGAAACCAAGAAAAUCUUGCAUUAGUAGAAGCAAGAAAAUUAAAGGAGUUGAGUGAUUGGGGGAUUAUUAAGAGAAUUCAUUGAUUUUGUAAAAUAUGAGCUCAAUUUGUGAUAAUCAAGUCACUCUAGAUCGAGCAUACAAAGAUUAUAUAAUGAAAAAUCAAAACGUAUAAGUUCUUGAUAGGAUUAUGUGAGUUCAAGAUGAAAUAACUUCUAUCACAUUGGUGAAGUCAAAUGAAUUGACUAAUUUAUUUACUAACCUAUUCAAAGAAAGUUGUUGAAUACAUCUUUAAGUACAAUUAUAUAAAAACUCCUUAAUUAGGUCCACCAAUGAUAACAACCCUACCCAACACUAUGAAAUGAAUAGUUAUGGGUUCAAUGGGUAACAACAAAUUAUUGAUAUAUGGAUGUUUCAGUACUUAAGUAAGAGAUGUACUAGUACUAGUUUCCUAAGAUUAGAGGGUUGAAUUCUAAUACUCUUAAUGAGAUUCAGUUCGUGGAACAAGUAUCUCAGAUAUGAUAAAGGCACAUGAAGAUCUUUACCUAUAUAAAUAUAGAAGUGGUACCGCUUUGAUUGGGAGUUGGAGUUGCUCUCAUAAUUUUCAUGAAUCUUGCAUAGUAAAUGUCCAUAAAAGUGCUAAGCAUGUUUGAGUGGAAAGCAUGAAUGAAAUAUUUAUGUGUGUAGUGUUACCGAUGUUAUCACAAGGAAUAACAUGUUCAAAGAUAUUAUUCUAUGUGGAAUUUUGAUUUCAUCUUGUGAUAUUGCACUAAGGUAAUAUUUAAAUCAAAAGAUACAUUACUCUAUGCGUGAAUAUGACUUGAUCUUUUUGUCCUAACUUUUAUUUAAACAAGUGAAGGAUUGUUGGAUUUUUGUUUAAAUUAAAUUAAUAUUUGUAAAAGGUGUCCUUUUAAUAAAGUAUCUUUUGAUGAAAAUGUGUCUUUUAAUGAAAGGAUGUGUUCUUUCAUUGUAUGAUUUCCACCUAUUCUAUUUAAAUCCAACCUUCUCUUGUUCCUAACAUAAUUUUGCCGUGAAACCUUUUACGGAGAAGGAUUUACAAUAUUUUUUCAAAAAAUCUCUUUUCUUCAAAAAAAAAGAUCAAGUUCAAGUUCUUGCUUUCCAAUAGGAUUAUCUUCACUAUUUUCUUGGUGCAGAAAUCCAAAGGAUUGUCAUAUCCAUUAAUACUAUUUGCAUAUAAUCUCAUAGCAGUCUCGCAGAGGAAAGAGAGCAAAUAUCAUUUUUUGAAAAAUAUUUUGUGUGUUUUUCAAGCCUUUUACUCUGUAUUUUUGUUUAGAUUAUUAAGUCUUCAUCUUUAUAUUCUUCUUUGUAUAUUUUAUAUGUGUUCAUGAAACAUAUUUUCCAAUAAAUCUUUUAGGGUUACUAUUAUUUUAGGGGUAUGUGCUUCAAUCAUUUUCUUGGUGCUUUUUCUCGCACUGCCAAAAUGAUGCUAGUCAAGAAAUAAGGCUUCAUGAAUUUUCAAUCUUAAGCCAGAGUGUGACGAAACAUUGCUAACAAUCUAUUUAAUUUCAUUUUGGGGGAAAAUAAGAGAAACUUAAGUUUUAAAGGUAAAAGAACUUUGUUGCAAGCAAAAUGUACAAAAUCAAAGGAGGGUAUUUUUGUAAAUAAAUAUUUUUUUUUGUAGAAAUUAUGCAAGCUAUGUUAUAUCUGUUGGAUUUUUAAGAGGUGUGAAUGAAAAAUGAAUAGGUGCAAUUUAAAUAGGCACCUUAUUGGAUUGAAUGGUUAUGACCUUUCUAAUGGGAUUGUGACUUUUCUGAAGAGUUGCACCUUUUCUGAAGAGGUGCACCUUUAUAUAGGGGUUCACCUUUCUGAACCAUUAUUUUUCCUCAUGAAGCAACACUUUGAUGGCUAUAAAUACCUGAAUUUUUUCUCGGGUAUAGACAUAAAAAUUUACAAGAAAAAAUACUUCUCUUUUUUGCAAGAACUCUAGGGUGAUUUGCUCCCGUUGAGUAUGUUCGUAGGUCGACAGAAUUUGAGGUACCACUAUUCUGUCAAAGUGAUUCAUUUUAUACUGAGAGGAUAUAUUCCAUAACCUCAAGUACUUGAGAGGAAUAAUUUCCCUUAAGGACAUACUGUGAAUUCGGUGGACUUGGAUCUUUUUGUUUCAUCUCUUUUCUUUAAAGUUGGUUUUAUUUUUUUUCAAAAAAUAUUUUAAACUUCAUAUUGAUAGUUCUUCAACUGUUUGAACUUGUGUUUGAAGUUCUUCAAACUUUAUUUUGAUAGUUCAUAAGUUGGUUGAACUUGUGUUGAAGUUCUUAACAUUUGAUUUUGCUAUUUUCCAGAAAAUAAUUUGAACUUUAGUUUGUUAAUGUUCAUAACUUGGGUUGAAUUUAUUGUUAAAAGUGUACAGUUGUAAAUAUAGACUUUAAACUUCAUUAGAUUAUUCAUAUGAUUAUUUGAACAUGUGUUUAAAGUUUUUGUUGAAAAAUACAGAUUUUACUAAAUCCGAAAAAAACAACAAUCUUAAGGAAAUUAGAAUUUUUUUUGUGCUUGAUUGGUGAAAAGAAAAAAAAUAUAUAACCAUUUAUAAAUCAAGUACUUGGUUAAUUUGUAUCGGAUCUGAUUUUUUGGAGACUAAAAUCUUUUAAUUUCUACUCCCUCGGUUAGAAGAAUAUGAAAACUUCAUCAAGAAAUCAAUGUUGGAAUUCGGUUCGAAGAAUGUAAAAACUUCACCGAUAUAUUAAAAAUUUUGAAUUGAUUUUUGGAGUUUAAAACCUAUGGGAUUUCACUCUGAUUGAAUUUGAUUAUGACUUAAAGUCAAAAGAACUUCAUCAGAUUUCAAAGUUCAUUCAGUUGAUGAUUUGAAGAUAUAAAAACUUCAUCAUUUACUAGAAAUAAGUUGGUUAAAGAUUAAAGUCUUUACUAUCAGUAUUCUGAAAUAUAAAGUGUAUGUCAAAGAUUUGACAGGAAAAUGAUGGAUGAAACUGAUCAACAAGUUUAUUCGGUUGUGAAUGGUGCUUUACUAAUGACAAUCAAUAUUGUGUCAUUAAGUCAUUCAGAUAUUGCUAUAGCAAUGAAAACGACAGAGAAACCAGAAAAUUAUUUUGGUGCGAACUUCAAAUAUGGUAGCAAAUGAUGUCAUUUUGGUUGACCAAACUUGAAAUGCAAAUGUUCACAAGUGUAGAUCCUUAUAUUGUAAGAAAAAAAUAAUAAUUAAAAAUUAAUUAUUUGGUUUGAAAGAUCUUGUGAGUCAUCUCAAGAUAGAAGAGGAUAAUGAGUUGAAUGAGAAAUCACCAAUAAUUUUUGCAAAUCAUGUUAAAAUGGUGCUCUAAAUAAUAAGAAGAUGAAGAAGUCUUCUGGAUAAGAGAUAGAGCAGAACAAGAAAAUGUUCAAAGGUAAGUGCUACAACUGUAGUGAUGUUGGCCACAAAUCUCUAAAUAGUCAAGUUCUAAAUAAGAACAAGAAAAAAAGAUCAUAUAAGCAUAUUGGAAACAACAGAAAAGAUUGAAAAUUUAUGUGCUAAUCACUGAGAGAAAUCUAGUUGGAUAUCCAAAUGAAUGGUGGUUUGAUUCAUAAUCCACUAGACAUGUUUGUGCAUAUAAAAAAAUUUUUGCUACUUAUGAUACCGUUGGUCCUAAAGAAGUGAUCUUAAUGGGAAAUAAUGCAAUAACCAAGGUUGAAGAAAGUGGGAAGAUAUUCCUAAAAAUAACUUCUGGAAGAUGUUGAUUCUCAACAAUGUUCUCCAUCUUCCUACUAUUAGGAAGAACUUAGUUUCGACAACACUUCUCGUUAAAAUUGAGUUUAAACGUGUGCUUGUUUGGACAAAUUUGUAAUAAGCUUGAAUGAAACAUAUGUAGGAAAGGGCUUCCUCAAUGAGGGCCUUUUCAAACUUGAUGUAAUGGUUGUUGAAAUAAAGAAAGCUGAGACUUCUUCUUACUUGCUUGAGUCAAAUAAAUUAUGGCAUGAACAUUUUGGAUAUGCAAAUUACAAAACUUUGCGAAAAUUGAUUAACUUAGAAGUUUUGCCUAACUUUGAGUGCAAUAAAUCAAAGUGUCAAAUAUGUGUAGAAUCAAAGUAUGCGAAGCAUCUGUAUAAGUUUGUUGAAAGGAAUUUCAAUCCCUUAGACUUAAUCCAUAUAAACAUUUGUGAUAUGAAGUCAACACCAUCUCGUGGUGGAUAAAGUAUUUUAUAAUUUUUAUUGACGAUUGCACUAGAUAUUGUUAUGUUUAUUUGCUAAAUGGUAAGGAUGAACCAUUAGAUACAUUUAGACAAUACAAAAUAGAAGUUGAAAAUCAAUUGAGUAAAAAGAUCAAAAUAUUAAGAAGUGAUAGGGGUGGAAAAUAUGAAUCUCCUUUUGUGGAGAUAUGUAUAGAAAAUGGAAUCGUGCAUCAAACUACUUCCCCAUAUUCACCUCAAUCAAAUGGGAUUAUGGAAAGAAGAACCAAAUAUUAAAGUAAAUAAUGAAUGCCUUGCUCAUAAGUUCAAGUUUACCACAAAACUUGUAGGAGGAACCUAUCCUUACAGCUAACUGAAUACUCAAUAGAGUGACCCAUAGUAAGACUUUAAAUUCCAUAUGAAAAAUAGAAAGAAAGGAAACCCAAGUUGAAUAUUUCAAAGUGUGGGGUGUCUAGCAAAAGUCCAAGUUCCUAUGCUUAAAAGGGUAAAAAUAAGACCUAAGACUGUGGAUGAAAAGCUCAUUGGAUAUGCUAAAAAUAGUAAAGCAAGUCAAUUUUUGGUUUAUAAAUUCAAACAACCAGAUAUCAAUGAAAAUACGAUAAUUGAAUUAGAUAAUGUUGAGCUUUUUGAAUACAUUUAUCCUUAUAAACUAGACAUGAGUAGUCUAGUGGAGGGUCUAAACGACCUCGAGAUGAACCAAAUAAGAAUGUACUUAAUGAUAAAAAUCUAGGGUGUAGUACACGUCAAAGAAUGUCAAUGUCCUUUGGAUCAGAUUUUAUAAUAUUUAUUCUUCAAAAUGAGCCUCAAACAUUUAAAAAAGUGAUGUCAUAUUCAGACGCUUCCUUUUAGAAAGAGGCAGUCAAUAGUGAGAUUGAUUCAAUCUUAAGUAACCAUACUUGUGAGUUGGUUGAUCUUCCUUCAAGAAAUAAACCUUUAGAUUCUAAAUGGAUCUUUUAAAGAAAAAUAAACGUUUAUGGUACUAUUGAAAAAUACAAGGAAAGACUUGUAAUGAAAGGCUUUAGACAAAAAUAAGGCCUUGAUUUUUAAUUCAUACUCACCCGUAACAAAGAUAAUGCCUAUGGUCGUCAAAUCCAUCAGAUGAAUGUGAAAAUAAAAUUCCUAAAUAGAGUAUUGGAGAAAGAAAUUUACAUAGAACAACCCAAGAGUUUUGUGGUUCCUGGUAAAGAAAAUAAGUGUAUAAACUUGUUGAGUCACUUUAUGGACUAAAAAGCAUCCAAACAGUGGCAUACA
This 46849-nucleotide long non-coding RNA is filed under the name Capsicum annuum. RNAcentral's name for it is "long non-coding RNA (CANN_LNC018936)". The record is from RNAcentral. Lineage: Eukaryota; Viridiplantae; Streptophyta; Magnoliopsida; Solanales; Solanaceae.